AGGCAGGAGAAUCACUUGAACCCAGGAGGUGGAGGUUGCGGUGAGCCAAGAUUGCACCACUGCAUUCCAGCCUGGGUGAAUGAGCAAGACUGUCUCAAAAAAACCCCCAUAAAACAAAAAUUAGCUGGGUGUGGUGAUGCAGGCCUGUAAUCCUAGCUACUGGGAAGGCUGAGGCAGGAGAAUCGCUUGAACCCAGGAGGUGGAGGUUGCAGUGAGCUGAGAUUGAGCCACUGCACUCCAGCCUGGGCAACAGAGUGAGACUCUGUCUCAAAAAACAAAACAAAACAAAAGUCAAACAGUACAAGGAGUCUUCUCUUCUUCCUUCCAGUCCCACCCCUCUAUAAUGAAUGAGUGAUAAUGGUAACAGUUUGGUGGUCUCCUUCCUUUUUGAUGCUUAUACAAACAUGUUCAAAGAUAUAUGUGCAUAUAAGAUUCUUUCAAACACUGGAUCAUACUGUAAUAUAUUAAAAUAACAGACUCUUUUCACUUAACAUUUUUUCAUGGACAUCUGUCCAGAUCAAUCCAUUUAUAUAUAACUUAUUUUUUAUAGCUAUAUACUAGUAUCCUUAGAAUGGAUACAUUAUUUAUUCAGCUCACCUCCUUGUUUCAGAAAUUUAGGUUAUUUCUAGGUUUGUUUUUUACUAUUUCAAACAAUGCUGCAAUAAACAUUCUUGUUCAUCAAAUCUUUGUACUGAUGCUUUAAUUUCUAUGGAUGGGUUCCUAAAACUUUCUGUGUGGUCCAUGGACAAGCAGGGACAGUUUGGAUGAUAGCAGGUACCUAUCCCUCCUGCUGUCCAUCCCCCUGCUUGGCCAUCCCUGGGGCUUCUUCCCCAGGCAAUCCAAGUGUGUCACCUGUCUGGUCAGUUGACCCCACCUCUUAACUGCCAUAAAGCCCAGCUUAGAGCAGGUCCCAUCCAUUGUUUUUUUUUUUUUGAGACAGAGUCUCCCUCUGCUGCCCAGGUGGAGUGCAGUGGCGUGAUCUUGGCUCUCUGCAACCUACACCUCCUGGGUACAAGCGAUUUUUGUGCCUCAGUCUCCUGAGUAGCUGGGAUUUUGGUGUGUGCCACCAUGCCUGGCUAAUUUUUUGUUUUUUGGUUUUUUUUUUUGAGACAGAGUUUUGUUCUUGUCAUCCAGGCUGGAGUGCAAUGGUGCGAUCUCAGCUCACUGCAACCUCCGCCUCCUGGAUUCAAGCUAUUCUCCCGCUUCAGCUUCCCAAGUAGCUGGGACUACAGGCCCGGGUCACCACACCUGGCUAAUUUUUGUAUUUUUAGUAGGGAUGGAGUUUCACCAUGUUGGCCAGGGUGGUCUUGAACUCCUGACUUUGGGUGAUCUGCCUGUCUCGGCCUCCGAAAGUGCUGGGAUUACAGGCAUGAGCCACCGCACCUGGCUCAUCCACUGUUUUGAUCUGUGCCUGUCUACCUUUUCUGCCUGUCCAGCCUCUACAAGGUCAAUUCCCCAGGAGCGAGGGGUCAGAAAUAUUAAUUUUUUUGGUCACACACCCAAAAAUUUUGUUGUAGAGAGAGGUUUCACUGUGUUGCCCAGGCUGGCCUUGAACUCCUGGGCUCAUGUGAUUCUCCUGCCUCAGCUUCCUGAGUAGCUGGGACUACAGGUACACUCCAGUAUGUAUGUGUUUUGCCCAGGCUGGUCUUGAACUCUUGGGCUCAAGCAAUCCUCCUGCCUUAGCCUCCCUAAGUGAUAGGAUUAUAGGUAUAAGCCACCACACCUGACCUGUUUUUUUUAUUUUUUAUUUUUUAUUUUUGAGACGGAGUCUUCCUCUGUCACCCACCCUGGAGUGCAGUGGUGUGGUCUCAGCUCACUGCAACCUCUGCCUCCUGGGUUCAAGCGAUUCUUCUGCCUCAGCCUCCUGAGUAGCUGGUAUUACAGGCAUUCGCCAUCAUGCGCAGCUAAUUUUUGUAUUUUCGUAGAGACAGGGUUUUACCAUGUUGUCCAGGCUGGUCUUGAACUCCUGAACUCAGGUGAUCUGCCCGCCUCGGCCUCCCAAAGUGCUGAGAUUACAGGUGUGAGCUCCCACACCCGGCCUGACCUGUUUUUAUUUUAAUUUAAUUUAAUUUUAUUUUAAUUAUUUUGAGAUUUGGCUCCACUCCGUAGCCCAGGCUAGAGUGCAGUGGUGCAAUCACAGCUCAUUGCAGCCUUGACCUCCCAGGGUCAAGUGAUCCUCCCACCUCAACCUCCUGAGUAGCUGGGACUACAGGUUGGCACCACCACACCUGGCUAAUUUUAAAAAAUUUUGGGCGCUGGGUGCAGUGGCUCAUGCCUGGAAUCCCAGCACUUUGGGAGGCCGAGGCAGGCAGAUCAUGAGGUCAGGAGUUCGAGACCAGCCUGGCCAACAUGGUGAAAUCCAGUCUCUACUAAAAAUACAAAAAUUAAGCCGGGCAUGGUGGCGCACGCCUGUAAUCCUAGCUAGUCAGGAGGCUGAGGCAGGAGAAUUGCCUGAACCCAGGAGACGGAGGUUCUAGUGAGCCGAGAUCAUGCCACUGCACUCCAGCCUGGGCGACAGAGAGAGAGACUCAUCGCAAAACAAAACAAAAAGCUGGCCGGGCGUGGUGGCUCACUCCUGUAAUCCCAGCAUUUGGGAGAUCGAGACCAUCCUGGCUAACACGAUGAAACCCCAUCUCUACUAAAAAUACAAAAAAUUAGCCGGGCGUGGUGGUGGGCGCCUGUAGUCUCAGCUACUUGGGAGGCUGAGGCAGGAGAAUGGCAUGAACCCUGGAGGCAGAGAUUGCAGUGAGCCGAGAUUGCGCCACUGCACUCCAGUCUAGGCGACAGAGUGAAACUCUGUCUCAAAAAAAAAAAGUUUUGUGGAGAUGAGGUCUUGUGGUGUUGCCCGGGCUGGUCUUGAACUCCUGGGCUUAAGCCAUCCUCUCGCCUCAGCCUCCCAGUGUUGGAAUUACAGGCAUGAGACAUGUGCCCGGCUGUCUUUGUUUUUUUAAUAUGAGGUCCUCUCUCUCCCUUAACAUGGAGAAGCAUUAAAAAUGUGGCCCCAGAUCCCGCUGGCCAGGAAGCCUCUAUGGACUGCCCCUUACUUUUCAUGAUGUCCAUGAUGUGGCGCUGCUGGAUGUUCGUCAGUUUGGAUUCCUUCAUCAUCACUGCACGACAAAGCGUUCUAUGAGGGCUCCUGGGCUGCAUGCGGAUGCCUUCACCUGAUGCCCUACUGAAAUUUAAAACCCUACAUCCUAGCCCCAUUCUGCACUGAGCAUGCCUUCUCUAUCUUUCCUGCUUCGUUUUUUCUAUAGCACUUAUGACCACCUAAAAUUCUAUAUAUUUUAUUUUAUUGUUAUCCUUCUAUAUUAGCUCUAUGAUAACAAGAAUUUUUGCUGGUUUAAUAAAAUUUCUGCCCUUUGUUAACAAAUAUUUUUUCCUCUUUCUCUUCUUUUUUUUUUUUUUUUGAGAUGGAGCUUCUAUCUUGUUGCCCAGGCUGGAGUGCAAUGGCGCGAUCUCAGCUCACUGCAAUCUCCACCUCCUGGGUUCAAGCAAUUCUCCUGCCUCAGCCUCCCGAGUAGCUGGGAUUACAGACAUGCGCCACCACGCCCGGCUAAUUUUGCAUUUUUAGUAGAGACUGGGUUUCUCCAUGUUGGUGAGGCUGGUCGUGAACUCCUAACCUCAGGUGAUUUGCCCACCUUGGCCUCCCAAAGUGCUGGGAUUACCAGCAUGAGCCACCUCAUUUUCUUUCACUGCUGUAUCCCCAGCACCUAAAACAGAGUCUAAGGCACAUGGUAGACUUAAAAAUGUUGUUGUUGGAAAAAAACAAAAAAGUUGUUGAGUAAAAGAGCACAUGAACACUUGUUCAUCAUGUUUCAGGGGCUGGAGCUACAAUUGUGAGCUGAAACAGGCACGGUUCCUGCCUGAUGAAAUUCAUGAUCUGGAGGGAUAGAUGGGACACCAAAUAACUGACUACAAUUUGUGCUAAGCCCAGUGAAGGAAAAUGUGUGAGGGCGCAUAACAGUUGAUCCUACUGUGGUGGUAAGGAGGAGAGGUCUUCCUCGGGAAAGUUGAAAGUGUGAUCUAAAGGAUGCAUAGGAGUUAACUACUCUAAAAAUGUUAGUUCUUUUACUUUUGGCAAGGUGUAGCACCUUGAACCUUCCCCUCCCCCCCGCCCCGCCCCCGACUAAGGCAUUUGCAGUAGAAUUUUGAAGCUUUCUGAACCCAAGGCUCCUUAUCUGUAAAGGAAAAUAGCAAUUGCUAAGCCACAGGUCAGGUACGGGGGAACUGAGUUACAGAUGGUAACUGCCACCAUUCUUCUCUCAUCCUUUAGCCCAGGGGUCCCCAACCCCCCGUCCGUGGACUGGUACCAGUCCCUGGCCUGUUAGGAACCGGGCCGCACAGCAGGAGGUGAGCGGCAGGCUAGAGAGCUUCACCGCCUCCUUUCAGGUCGGUGACGGCCUUAGAUUCUCAUGGGAGCGCGAACCCUAUUGUGAACUGCGCACGCGAGGGAUCUAGGUUGCACGCUCCUUAUGAGCAUCUAAUAAUACCUGAUGAUCUGAGGUGGAACAGUUUCAUCCCGAAACCAUUCCCCACACCUCCGUCAGUGGAAAAAUUGUCUUCCACGAAACCGGUCCCUGGUGCCAAAAAGGCUGGGAUCGCUGCUUUAACGCACUGACCUCUGAGCAGCUCGCAGGUCCCCGGGGUGUAAGUGGUCGUCUUGCGGCGGCGCUGGAACCCAGUUCCUUUGGUCACUACCUCCAUCUGCUUCUGUGAAGCCAUGGGAGGACUCUGAGGAGGGAAAGACGCAAUGACACACCCCCUGUCUCUUAUACCUAAUCUCUGUUCCCCGAUGCCCAACACCCCCAAAAAUCUGGAAGCGGGGAUCGAGCCAGAGAAUAAUGCCACCAGUUAAUAUUGCGACAGUGCCCAAACCUCCCAUCCAGACACAGACAGAUACACACACACAGUCCUCAUUCUGACCCAGAGCCUGUGGCAGGGAAGUAUCCUCGGGAGGAAGGGAGUGUUAACAUAGCCAUAGUCACAACAGUCCCCACUGAGUGAUAUGCCAAAAUUGAAAUUUCACCCUAAGACCCUCUCUGGGUGCUCCCCUCUCCACAUAGAAGUGGGCUCCCGGAGGCGGUGACCACUGCUUUACAGCCGCAUCCGCACCGGUGCCACGCAGAAAUACUGCGCGAUCUGGGCUGCCGGAGCUGGCAGCUAGCGCCUCUGGCUACUAUAGAAACGCGCACACACCAGUCAGCGCAUGCGCACUUUCCCCGCUCUGUCCUGCCUCCCGGAAGUGAUUUCCCCUGGGUUACGGCGCAGGCGCAAGAUAAGCGAGGCGCCGCGCGAGUUGUGGUGGCGCUGUUUGCGGGUCUCCGCGCGGGAGCGGGGCGCAGCGGGGUCGCUGAGGCGAGGGUGUCAUGUCAGACAACGAGGACAAGUGAGUGCGAGAGUGGAAUGGCCUUUGCGGCAACCUCGGAAGGGGCGGGUGAGGCAAGGCGUGGGUCGGCUGAGGAGCCUGGCGUCUAGGGGCAAUGUCUGAGGGGACUGGGGUCCUGAGGGGGGCGGCGGAGCCGAGGAAGGGAAGGGUGGGGACCCAGGAGCAUAGCCCCGGCUGGAGGCACAGGAGGGCCCAGGCUCGAGGGUCCAGAGGGGAUCCGUAGAAAAGGUGUCCUUCAGCAAAUGUUCCAGCGAGCCGGGCUCUGUGUCAUGCAGUGGGAAUAUUGAAGUGAAUGAACAAUCGUCCCUGCCUCUCCACGUGCUCACUUUCUAGAAAAGGGGGCACAGGCCCAUAAGUAAGCAGCAAGCAGGUAACGGUGGUCGCGUGAGCUUCCCCAGUUCUAGAAGUAUGUAGUAUAGGAGUACUACAGAGGAGGGUCUGGGCCAGCUCCACCGGGUGGCAUUAAAUAAAAGUCUGGGACGGUCCGUAGAGGUGGUGAGAACUGGUUUUGAAUUCUGGAUAUAUUACUAUUUUAAAGAUAGAGCCAAAAAAUUACCUGUUGGAUGUGUGGGUGCAAAGAGAGCUAGUCUGAAGAUAAAAAUAAGAAACGUGGGAUUGCUACCGCAUUCCCAGAAGAGGAGAUGAUCCGUGGCUGAGCAUUAGGGCAUUUGGGCAUUGAGUGCUUGGGGGAAAAGAGAAGCCGGGGAGGUGGGGGAACACCAAGAGAGUGAGGUGUCCUUGGAGUCAGGUGAGGAGAGCAAGUGGCCUAAUGUGCCAGCUGAUAGAUCAGGCUAAAUGAGAAGGAGAGUUGGCCAUUGGAUUUAGCAACAUGGAGAUCAUUAAUGAGCUUGGAAAGUGGUUUUGAUGGAGCUGUUGGGCUGAAAGGCUUUUUGGAGUGAGAUUAUAACAAAAUGGGAAGAGAGGAAGACAAUGAGGGUGGACAGCUCUUUCACACAUUUUUGCUUCAAAGGGCACCAUGGAAUUAGGGCUAUAGGGGGAGAGCGAAGAGAAAUGGGUUGUUUUUUUUUUUUAGAUGAGGAAAAGCACAUGUUGAAAUGCUGAUGGGGCUGGGUGCUGUGGCUCACACCUCUAAUCCCAGCACUUUGGGAGGUCGAGGAGGGUGGAUCACCUGAGGUCAGGAGUUCGAGACCAGCCUGGUCAAAAUGGUGAACCCCAUCUUUACUAAAAAUACAAAAAUUAGCUGGGCAUGGUGGCAUGUGCCUAUAAUCCCAGCUACUCGGGAGGCUGAGACAGGACAAUUGCUUGAACCUGGGAGGUGGAGGUUGCAGUGAGCCAAGAUCGUGCCAUUGUACUCCAUCCUGGACAACAGAGCGAGACUUUGUCUCAAAAAAAAAAAAAAAUGCUGAUGGGAAUGAUCCAGUAGAGAGGGAAACAGUGAUGAUGAAUGAGUCCUAGCAACAUUUGGGGCAGAUGGGGAAAAAUUGAAGGGGUAAAAUGGAACAAAAGUCGGAUUUACUUAUUAUUAUUAUUAUUAUUAUUAUUAUUAUUAUUUUUUUUUUUUGAGAAGGAGUCUCGCUGUGUCACCCAGGCUGGAGUGCAGUGGGGUGACCUCUGCUCAGUGCACCCUCCGCCUCUCAGGUUCAAGCAAUUCUUGUGCCUCAGCCUCCUGAGUAGCUGGGAUUACAGGCGCCCACCACCACACCCGGCUAAUUUUUUUGUAUUUUUAGCAGAGAGGAGAUUUCUCCAGGUUGGCCAGGCUGGUCUCGAACUCCUGACUUCAAGUGAUGCACCCACCUCGGCCUCUCAAAGUGCUGGGAUUACAGAUGUGAGCCACUGCACCCAGCUGAUUUACUUAUUAAGUAGAUAUUUAUUGAGUGCUUCCUACAUACUGGGCGAGACACAGAUCUCUGCCCUCUUUGAUUUUUUUUUUUUUUUUGUGUUUUUUUUUUGGGGGGGGUUUUUUGAGACGGAGUUUCACUCUUGUUGCCCAGACUGGAGUGCAAUGGCGUGAUCUCAGCUCACCACAACCUCCGCCUCCUGGGUUCAAGUGAUUCUCCUGCCUCAGCCUCCCAAGUAGCUGGGAUUAUAGGCAUGUGCCACCACCACUCCUGGCUAAUUUUGUAUUUUUAGUAGAGAUGGGGUUUCACCAUGUUAGUCAGGCUGGCCUUGAACUCCACCCACCUUGGCCUCCCAAAGUGCUGGGAUUACAGACUUAAUCCCAGAGCCACAAUACAAAGCCACCAUGCCCGGCCUCUGAUUUUUAUUUUUUUAUUUUUCUUAUUUUAUUUAUUUUGAGACAGGUACUUGUUCUGUUACCGAUGCUGGAGUGCAGCGGUGCAAUCUUGGCUCACUGCAACCUCCACCUCCUGGGUUCAAGCAAUUCUUGUGACUCGGCCCCCCAAGUAGCUGGUAUUACAGACAUGUGCCACCAUGCCCAGCUAGUUUUUGUAUUUUUAGUAGAGACGGGGUUUUGCCAUGCUGGCCAGGCUGGUCUCGAAUUCCUGGCCUCAAGUGAUCCACCCACUUCGGUCUUCGAAAGUACUAGGAUUACAAGUGUGACCCACCAUGCCCGGCCCCUCUUUGAUUCUUGUAAGUGAUGCUCUAAGUAACUGAUCUCUUCUUCCUGUACAGUUUUGAUGGUGACGACUUUGAUGAUGUGGAGGAGGAUGAAGGGCUAGAUGACUUGGAGAAUGCCGAAGAGGUCAGUAUUCAGCCUCAGGCUCCCACCUCUGCAGCCCAAGCUGCCAAAUUGUCUGGCAGGUGAUGAUUAGCUGAAUGUGUCUGCCUUCUAUUUGUGGUCAAGGCCCCUGCCAUAAGCAUUCCCAGUUAGAGUGAGCUGUGUUCCAGUCUUGCAUAGCAGAACAGCCCUGCAGGGUGGGCCUGAAAGCUUUUGUCCAUGUGGUCCACAGCCUGUGGCUUCUGGGGCAGCUAGUUCACUGACAAGUUAAACGGUGCCUUCCUUCAUUCGGCAAACGUGUUGAAUGUUUAUUAUAUGCCAGGUGCUUUCUGCAGGGUGGGAUUACUUACGGAGCAAAGGGAAGAGGUAAGCAGGGCUCAGAUGAGGCAGUAGUUUGUAGCCUAAAGGCAAUGGGAAGCUACUGACAAAUUUUGAGCCAGGGCACGGUCCAGGUUACAUUUUAGAAAGUACAUUCCUACCUCGAGUAAGGAGUGAACUGGGGAAGGGCAAGAGUGAAAGGUGAGAGGCCUGUGGCUUGGACAUAGGUGCUGGUAGCGCAGGUGAUGAGAAGGCAGAUGAAAGAGUUAUUUUGGUGGGUUGGUUAUGGGGCUGAGAAAGUGAGUGAUGACAAGGACGACUCUCAGGUUUCUGGCUUGAGCAACUAGGUGGAUAGGUUGCCAGCCUCAAGAGGAAAGUAGGGCUUUCUGUCCUGUGUGACUGAUGAGGGGAAAAAUGCAGUUAUGUUCUGGAGAGACAUGGAGACUUCUUUCUCUCUGCAUGGCACUUUAAGAUACAUUUUCACUUGAGUCAGAUGCGUCCUUCUCCAUCCUUCUGGUCCCCUUCCCAUCCCCGUCAUGUAGACUGUGUCUCCUAGAUGUACUUCAGCCCUGUCUGCAUUUUUCUACUCCUGGUGCCUUAACCUGGCUUAGAUCUUACUGCUUUUCAGCCACAUUCCUGCAGGAAUUGUGUGGCUGGUUUUCCUGCUUCAGUCUCACUCCAGACUCUGCUCUGUGUGCUCUUCUCCUUUCAGCGCCCUUUCUUACUUGCCCACAUGCUCAGUUACUACUGGCUUUCCUAAAUGGCCUCUCUGCUUCCGCCACUGCCCCCUGCAGAAUAUUCUCAACAGAGUAUCCAGAGUGAUCCUUUCUGGUUUUGUUGUUGUUGUUGUUGUUGUUUGUUUUCUUGUUUUAAAUUAAGAAGCGGUGUCUUGCUACGUUGUCUAGGCUAGAGUACAAUGGCUAUUUUCAGGUGUGGUCAUAGCGCACUACAGCCUUGAGCUCCUGGGCUCAAGUGAUCCUUCCAGUUCAGCCUCCUGAGUAGCUGGGACUGCAGGUUCUGCACCACCAUGCCCAGCUCAGAGUCAACCUUUUUUUUUUUUUUUUUUGAGACGGGGUCUUGCUCUGUUGCCCAGGCUGGAGUGCAGUGGCGCGAUGUUGGCUUACUGCAAGCUCCGCCUCCCGGGUUCAUGCCAUUCUCUUGCCUCAGCCUUCUGAGUAGCUGGGACUACAGGCGCCCACCACCACGCCCGGCUAAUUUUUUUUGUGUGUGUGUGUGUGUGUUUUUAGUAGAGACGGAGUUUCACCAUGUUAGCCAGGAUGGUCUCGAUCUCCUGCCUUGUGAUCCGCCCGCCUUGGCCUCCCCAAGUGCUGGGAUUACAGGUGUGAGCCACCGCGCCUGGCCUGUUUACUUAAUUCUUUAUAUACCACAGAAUUUAUUCUCCUGCCUACAAUCCUCUACGCACGUUUUGUUCUAAUUAUUGCCCACAACUAGUUGUCCAAACCUCUUUCUCCUCUUUGCCUUUGCAUGUUGCCUCCUUCCUCAUUGGUUUGACAGCUCCUGCUCAUCCUUCUAGGCGAGCUCAAGUCUCAUCCCUGGAGUUUUCCUAACCCCCAGUGUGAGUGAGGUGUCCCCACCUCCUUGGGAACUCUGUUGCACCCUUCAUAGCACCUGCUGUGUUUACUCUUGUCUCCCCUAUAGACCAUUAAUUGAGAGCAGAAAUUCCUAGCUUUCUUUCUCAGCAUCUGUUAAUAAUAUCUGGCUCAGGACAAAUGCUUAGUAAGUAGUUGUUAAAUAUUCCUGCCUUCACCUUGACUUUUCUAGCCACUUGACCCAUUGGCUCAGCUCCUCUAUCUGAAAGAUGGGGAGACUAUUCCUAGCUUCCUGCUUAGGGUAAUUUUUUUAUGCCGGGACCUCUUUUACGGGACCAACAUUCUGAUACCACCCCAUCUCCAGGCCCUCUGCUCUCUUCAGGAUGAGGCAGUUAGCUCUGGAAUCUCAGACCUCCAUUACCAGGUCUGAGGCUUGGUCAGGUUAGCUGACUUUCCAAGCCUCUGAAAUGAGAACUGUAAUCCCUGCCUCAUAAGGUUAUUGUAAGGAUUACAUGAGUUGUUAGGAAGCAGUCAUGCGGUCCCCUGGCAUGCAGUAAGCAUUAAUGGUGGCCGUAGCGAGGAUUGUGAUUGUUGUCAUUAUCACCCUCCCUGUAACCCAAAAAUGCCACCUGAGACUUUCCCUCUUUUUCGUCUUGGUGUCCAGGAAGGCCAGGAGAAUGUCGAGAUCCUCCCCUCUGGGGAGCGACCGCAGGCCAACCAGAAGCGAAUCACCACACCAUACAUGACCAAGUACGAGCGAGCCCGCGUGCUGGGCACCCGAGCGCUCCAGAUUGCGUGAGUCAUUGCCCCUUCACUGUCUUCUCCAUCUGUCAGGCCACAGUAAGCUCUUGUACCGCUGAUCUUGCCCAGCCUGGCACCUGAAAACAGACUGUUUGCUCUCACAUUCCAAAGUGGUGCCGUCCCUGCGUACCAGGCAUUGUACUAGUCCCCUGCCCUCAGGGAGCUUGUGAUCUAAUAGGAGAACUAGGACAUGAACAUCUGAGAAGUCAAGUAACAGUAUGGGAGAAAAAUGAUAAAAAAAAAACCAGAACUAGAUGGUUGCCUGUCAGAUCAGUGCAGCAAAGAAGGUGAAUUCAGAGCCAAUGUGUACAGUGUGUUUUUUUUUUUUUUUUUUUGAGAUAGAGUCUCACUGAGUCACCUAGGCUGGAGUGCAAUGGCACAAUCUCAGCUCACUGCAACCUCUGCCUCCCAGGUUCAAGUGAUUCUCAUGCCUCAGCCUCCCAGGUAGCUGGAAUUACAGGCAUGUGCCACCAUGCCUAACUAAUUGUUGUGUUUUUAAUAGAGACGGGGUCUCGCCAUGUUGCCUAGGCUAGUCUCGAACGCCUAGCUUCAAGUGAUCCACCUGCCUCUGCCUCCCAAAGUGUUGGGAUUGCAGGUGAGAGCCACCGCGCCCAGCCAUGGUGGUUCUUUGUUGUUUUAUUUUCCGAGUGAAGAUCUUACUCUGUUGCCCAUGCUGGAGCACAGGGGCCUGAUCAUAGCCCAUUGCAGCCUCAGACUCCUGGGCUCAAGCAAUUUUCUUUUCUUUUUUUUGAGACAGAGUCUCAUUCUGUCUCCCAUGCUGGAGUGCACUGGCCCAAUCUCAGCUCAAUACAACCCCUGCCUCCCGGGUUCAAGCGAUUCUCCUGCCUCAGCCUCCCACGUAGCUGGGACUGCAGGCAUCCGCCACCACACCUGGCUAAUUUUUGUAUUUUUUCUUUUUUUUUUUUUUUUUUUUUUUUUUUUGAGAUGGAGUCUCGCUCUAUCACCCAGCCUGGAGUGCAGUGGUGUGAUCUCUGCUCACUGCAAGUGCUGCCUCCUGGGUUCACGCCAUUCUCCUGCCUCAGUGGGGUACUCUAAUGGUACUGUGGGGAAGCAUGAGGGAAGCAUGAGACUGAGAACAGCAGCCCCUACCCCAAACUCCCUAUAGGCUGAUGUGGGAAAUGGUGGGUAUCUGGAGGAGUGGGGGGUAGUUCAAGUAGGGAAUAAUGGAAAUUAGCCUAGAGAGAAAAGCAGCUGGGUGCCCUGGCUCACACCUGUAAUCCCAGCACUUUGGGAGGAUGAGGCAGGUGGAUUGCUUGAGCCCAGAAGUUCAAAAUCAGCCUGGGCAACAUGGUAAAACCCCAUCUCUACAAAAAAUACAAAAGUGUGGUGGCGUGCGCCUGUAGUCCCAGCUACUUGGGAGGCUGACGUGGGAGGAUCGCCUGAGGCCAGGAGGUUGAGGCUGCAGUGAACUGUGAUCGCACUACUGCACACCAGCCUGAGCGACAGAGACUCCAUCUCAAAAAAACAACAACAACAAAAAAAAAAACAAAGGAAAGCUGGGGCCAGAUUUGUGGACUCUGUGUGCUUACAGGGGCAGCAAAUGCUGUCUGUACAUUCUCCUCCUUAGUGUUCAAGCAGCACUUGGCUGUUGUCUUCACUAGUCCUGUAGGGGUAAAGAUGACUAUCAUGUCUACUUCAAUAAAGGGUUUUAUGGGUGGGCAACAUUGUUCUCCCCCAUUCCUCAGCAGCGGACCUCUUCUCAGCCUGGUUGCACUCCUUGCUCUUAUGCAUGGCAUUAGAGCCACACCCAGUGUGAUAGCCAUACCCAAUAUGCCACCAAUGUCAGGAUCCUCUGGGCCUGCACCAUCAAUUAUGGUAGCCACGAACUGUAUAUGUCCAUUUACAUUAAGUACAAUUAAAUAAAAUUCGAAAUUCAGUUUCUGUCUCACUAGCCAGCCACACUUCUUUUUCAUUUAUUUAUUUAUUUAUUUUAUUUAUUUAUUUAUUUUUGAGACGGAGUCUUGCUCUGUCACCUAGGCUGGAGUGCAGUGGCACGAUCUUGGCUCACUGCAAGCUCUGCCUCCCGGGUUCACGCCAUUCUCCUGCCUCAGCCUCCCGAGUAGCUGGGACCACAGGCACCCGCCACCACGCCCGGCUAAUUUUUUAUAGUUUUAGUAGAGACGGGGUUUCACCGUGUUAGCCAGGAUGGUUUCGAUCUCCUGACCUUGUGAUCUGCCCGCCUCGGCCUCCCAAAGUGCUGGGAUUACAGGCGUGAGCCACUGCGCCCGGCCUAUUUAAUUUUUUUUGAGAAGGAGUCUCACUCUGUCACCCAGGCUGGAGUGCAGUGGCAUGAUCUCGGCUCACUGCAUCCUCUGCCUCCCAGGUUCAAGUGAUUCUCCCACUUGAGCUUCCCGGGUAGCUGGGAUUACAGGCACCCACCACCACGCCUGGCUAAUUUUUGUAUUUUUAGUAGGGACGGGGUUUCACCAUGUUCGUUGGCCAGGCUGGUCUUGAACUCCUGAUCUCAAGUGAUCCUCCUGCCUCAGCCUUCCAAAGUACUGGGAUUACAGGCAUGAGCCACCACGCCCAGCCUUUUCUUUUAUUCUUUUAGAGACAGUUCGGCUCUAUCGCCCAGGCUGGAGUGCAGUGGUGCUAUCAUAGCUCACUGCAACCUCAAAACUUCUAGGCUUAAGUGAUCUUCCCACUUCAGCCUCCCAGGUAGCUAGGACUACAGGCUAAUGCCACCACACCUGACUAAUGUCUCAAUUUUUUUGUAGAGACAGGGUUUCACAAAAAGACUCCUGGCUUCCAGUGAUCCCCCUGCUUCAGCCUCUAAAGUGCUGGGAUUACAGCUAGCCACAUUUCAAGUGUGUUCAGUAGCCACAUGUGGCUACUGGUUACCAUAAAGGAUAGCACAGGGGGAUAGGACAUUUCCGUCAUUGCAGAGCAUUCUAUGGGGCACACUGAUAUAGGCUAAAAGUGGCCCAGUAGAAAGAAGAAUUCAUAAGUUAUUUUUAAAACAAAUAGACUGCUUAUUUGCAAGUUAAACAGUCUUUCAGCACUGAAGAAAGAUACUGCAUUAGCACUUGAUAGGAUGCUGAGAUGAUUAAAAAUGUAGUCCCAGCCGGGCGCGGUGACUCACGCCUGGAAUCCGAGCACUGUGGGAGGCCAAGGCGGGCGGAUCACCUGAGGUCAGGAGUUCGAGACCAGCCUGGCCAACAUGGUGAAACCCUGUCUCUACUAAAAAUACAAAAAUUAGCCGGGUGUGGUGGCACGCGCCUAUAAUCCCAGCUACUCGGGAGGCUGAGGCAGGAGAAUCGCUUGAACUUGGGAGGCGGAGGUUGCAGUGAGCCAAGAUCGCGCCACUAAUCCAGCCUGGGUGACAGAGUGAGACUCUGUAAAAUUAAAAAAAAAAAAAAAAAGACAUAAUCCCCAGUCCUCCAGGUGUUUUCUGGUGGGGGAGAUAGACCUCUGCACAGGUACCCACAACCCAAGGCAGAUGCGAGUGGUGCUUUAUGAAAGGUACAAAGAGAGGUGUUAUUGCAGAGGUGACUGGGAAAGCCUUGUGAAGGGAUUAGAAUUCUAGUGGGGAGAGGUAAAGAGAGUUGGUUUUGUGGGUACUCCAGGUGCCAGAAACAGCCCAAGGAAAGGUCCAGGUGGAGGCACGCAGUUAUGGAUUUCUGGUGAGGGAUCAUAAGCAGCUUGGGGCCUAAGGCUGGAAAAGAUGACACUGGUCCUGUGAGUGACAAGUUCAGAAGAUUGGAGUUCAUUUGGUGGGCAGUGUGAAGUACUCAAAGGUUUUGAGGCCGACGUCCAGCAUCCAGGCCACUCAUAAAUCCAAGUGUCCUGUUUUUCUUUUCUUUCUUUCUUUUUUUUUUUUUUUGAGAUGGAGUUUUGCUCUUGUUGCCCAGGCUGGAGUGCAAUGGCAUGAUCUUGGCUGACUGCAACCUCUGCCUCCUGGGUUCAAGGAAUUCUCCAGCCUCAGCCUCCUGAGUAGCUGGGAUUACAGGCACACGCCACCAUGGCUGGCUAGUAUUUUGUAUUUUUAAUAGAGACUGUGUUUCACCAUGUUGGUCAGGCUGGUCUCGAACUCGUGACCUCAGGUGAUCCACCUGCCUUGGCCUCCCAAAGUGCUGGGAUUACAGGCGUGAGCCACUGUGCCCAGCCAAGUGUCCUGUUCUUCUUGGGGAGCAAAGCUUGGUCCAGGUCAUUCCAGUCUUUAGUGCUCUUUCCACUUAAGGGCUAUGACACCAUCUGGUGGCUCCUUGCCUGCUGUAAGCUCUUGUACAGCCAUAAUGGGACUCUGCACUUGGUAGGUGCAGAUGGAGUCUCAUUCUGUCACCUAGGCUGGAGUACAGUGGUGCCAUCUCGGCUCACUGCAACCUUCACCUCCUGGUUCAAGCGAUUCUCGUGCCUCAGCCUGCCAAGUACCUGGGACUACAGGCAUGUGCCACCAUGCCCGGCUAAUUUUUUGUAUUUUUAGUAGAGACGAGGUUUCACCAUGUUGACCAGGCUGGUCUCAAACUCCUGACCUCAGGUGAUUUGCCUGUCUCAGCCUCCCAAAGUGCUGGGAUUACAGGCGUGAGCCACUGCACCUGGCCAGAACAACUGUUUCUUGGGGAGGUUUUGGAUGGAGUGUCGGUCUGGUUCAUUAGCACCACCUGGUGGCUGAUGAUGUUUGUCACAUCUACUUCUUAACUGGAUGGUUGAUGUGUUUAUUUGUAGAAGCCAUGGUGCAAGAAAAAUUAAUUUAAGGACACAUUCUUGCACAUUCCAUGUGCAUAAUAGGUGCUGAAUGAGUGAAUGCCCUUGAAUUAUUUAUAUUUUGAAAGAAAGCAGGCAUAUGCAGAUCAGGAAAAGUAUUUUGCCACAUUCUUUAAAGCUUUAUAUUUUGGGAAAGUUUAAAUACUUAUUGAGAGAGGAUAUAGGGAAAGUUAAAUACUUCAUCUCUGCCCUUGGGAAAUCUUCAGGCUUUUGGGAGUAAUAUAAAUCGAAAUAUUUAGUAAUAAAAUUAUUAAGCUGGUAGCUCUCAGACUAGCUGAUUAUCAGAAUCUGGGCAGUUUUGCAAAUGCAGGCUCUCAGGCCGAUUCACUAGAGAUUCUAUUCAGGGGGUCUGGGGAAGGACCCAGGAACCUGUAUUUUUUAGCAUGCUCUCCUGUUAAUUCUGGAUAUGUUAGUGUGAACCUGAGCUGGAAUCAUCAAGGGUGGCUUCCUAGAGGAGAUGGGCCUAGAAUUGGCAUCCCUUUGCUUGGUGGUAGAGUCUCCACUGUGGGCCAAGUGUUGUGCUGGGGGCUGGGCCUCCGUGGUGAAACACAUGUGGUUCUGGGCCACCAGGAGCUCAUGGUCUAAUGUGGAAACUUUCCAAACAAGUAGUUACAGUUCAAUGAGAUUGGUGCCAAGAAAAGUAUAUGCAAAAUGAGUCCAGGUACUGAAGAGUCAGCACACGAUUUCCAGGGUGGAGACAUCCGAACCUCUCGCAGGCUUUUAGGGAGAGGAAGAGCUUGUAAGAGCACACAAAAGGGAAACAACAUGGCGCGUCUAGGGAACCAGAAAUAGUUUGGUAUGGCUGGAAUGUGGGGUAAAUACAGGAAAGUAGCACGGGACUGUGCUAGGAAGGCGAACAGGGACCAGACUGCACUCUGGCCUGAUAGCCAAGGGGAGUCAUGGCAGUAUUGUAAGCAGAUGAGCCCCCUGACUGCUGGCUUCAGGUGAAGGGUGGGGAGGGCUGGGCAGGAAGGGCAGGGCCUCUACUGAGGUGUUGUGGCUAUAGAGAAUGGAAAUGAGGCCAGGCGUGGUGGCUCAUGCCUUUCAUCCCAGCAAUUUGGAAGGCUGAGGCAGGCGGAUUGCUUGAGCCCAGGAGUUUGAGACCAGCCUGGGCAACAUGGUGAAAUGUUAAUUUCACCCAUCUAUACAAAAAAUACAAAAAAUUAGCAUAGCUGGUGAUGUAUGCCUGUAGUCCCAGCUGCUUGGGAGGCAGCAGGAGAAUUGCUUGAGCCUGGGAAGUGGAGGUUGCAGUGAGCCCAGAUCUCGCCAUUGCACUCCAGUCUGGGCAAUGGGAGUGAAACCUUGUCUCCAAAAAAUAAAGAGAGAGAGAAAAUAGAAAUUGAAAUGAGGUGCACUGGGCACUGAGGCCAGGCUCUGGGGUUGGGGCAGUUAGAAUGAUGUGCCUUUGCACACGUCUCCCUUUCCACCAGGACAUUCUGCUGUGGCCACUGGGCUCCAGAGUCUGUGAUAGGCCUCCGCCAGGGAAGAUCUCUGGCAGUGCCCCUACACACCACUCCCUACUGUGCCUGCCUACCUAGAAGAUGACGUUUCUAGGUGGGAACCAGGAUGCCGUUCCACCCUCACUGCCUGUUGGGCCCUUCUCCCUAACACCUGUCCCUAUCCCUACAGGAUGUGUGCCCCUGUGAUGGUGGAGCUGGAGGGGGAGACAGAUCCUCUGCUCAUUGCCAUGAAGGAACUCAAGUAAGUCACUCAAAUCAUGGUUCACUUCUCCAAAUCUCUGGGAGGCAUCUGUCGGGCUCUGUGUUGCACCCUUUGCUUCCACUUCCCUGGCUGGAGAAGUUGAUGCUUAUUCCUGCAGAUCCUUAGGAACAGCUCACCAGGAGGCAGGAGGAAGAGAGAAGAGGAGGCAGGGAAAGUGGGAGGGCACUGAUGAGACAGGGACCUCUUCUGACUGUUGGCAUUUCCCUGUUCCUCCUGCAGGAGGCCUUACCAAUAUUCUGUCAUUCUUCCCCCUCUUGUCUGAUAUAAAAACUUUCUUUUUCUUGUAAUUGCUUUCUUACAAAGUACACUCAUCAGCCCCAAGAGGCUGCUCCUAAGACUUCUCUUUCCUUGUGUUUUGCACACAAUCUGUUCCUUCUGCGGCAGAGCUGGGGUCACCAGCCCUCAUGUACCUGUGACUUCUCCCCUGCCACAGGGCCCGAAAGAUCCCCAUCAUCAUUCGCCGUUACCUGCCAGAUGGGAGCUAUGAAGACUGGGGGGUGGACGAGCUCAUCAUCACCGACUGAGCUGGAGUCAUCUUCCUGCCCUUGCCCCAUGCCCAAUUUUCAUUCUUACUUUAUAUGUGUAAAUAAUAAAAUAUUCAACUUUCCAACCCCCUUCCCCUCUGCUUAUCUGCAAUGUCACCACCUGUUGCUUCCCUGUUACUGCCAUGCUGCCUGGAGCAUGCACCUAUUCCAGUGGCCCUGUGACUGUCAGCUCCUUAAGAAGCACCAGGGGCCGUUAGCCCCUUUGGAUCCCCCACAUCCUUCCCUCCAUCUCCCUGUUCCCCAGAGCAAAGGCUGCUGCAGGGGAGACACCUCAGCUGCCUUCCAAGCAGACAGACGAGUCUUUGUGCCCAGGGAGCUGGUUGCCACGGAAACCCCCAAUUUCCUUUCCAGUGGGGACUGGCUGCAGGGGCUUCUCCCUUCUCAGGAGUAUCACAGAGCAGGUCUCAUCAAGCCACCCAUUGUUUCCUAAGGACCUGCUUCGAGCCUCUUAUCGUGGGCUCGGAUCCCCUUUCAGGAGCAGUGCCCCAGCAGGAAGCGUGGGGGUGUGCUGAUCUCCCACCCUCCCCAGGCAGAGCCCUGCUGGGCAAGUCAGCAGCUGGAGCAAGGACAGAGCACCUGCCUACCCCUGCCCCUGCCCCCACAGCUCUGUCCCCACUCCUUCUCAGGACGCUGCCCACACACUUUCCUCUGUGGCCCACCUCUUUGGUGUGCCACACCCAUGCCUUCUUCCCAGCCCCUAUAAGAUAUCCUUUCCCUCCUGUUUGGGGCUGGUGAUCCUCUGAGGCCUUGGGGAGAUGGUGCUGGGGUGGUGGUGCUCCUGGGUUCCAGGUGUUACAUUAAGUCAGAGCUGGAGCUCCGCCUUCCUCUGCCUGAGGUUCUAAUGGGUCCUCUUCCUUUCUCCACCCUGCUUACCCAACCUGAGGUAAGACCAGUCACACUGGCUCCUCCCUCCUAGAGGGGGUCGGGGGAGGGUGUAUAUUGACAUGAACAGGGAUAGAGGGAAAACUGGCUCCCUGAAUAUGCCAGCCUUAACCUCCAUUCCACUGCCAGCUCCCCUUCCAAGAGGAGGAGCUGGGCUUCCCUAACCUCUGCAGGAGGCAGGGCCUCCAGGCCUGGGUACAGCCUGGCCCUGGGAUGGGGUGUGGGGAGUGAAUGGUGAGCAUCUGCACUGGUGGGAGGGGUGUCUGCUGCCCUGGAGAAGGGUUAAUUCAGGGAGCAGCGGACUUCACACACCCAUCCACCCUCCUCCAAGCCUGUGGAAUCCUUUAAUCAAGUUGGGUGCUGAAAUUUCAGCUCUGAAAUGCCGCCUUUGUGCUGGCAUCCAGGCAGCCACCCCAGAGUACGGGGGUCACUUUCUCGGCCCCAUUUCUCUAAAUGGUCUCUUUGUUCCCUGCUGGGCUGCUCAGUAUCAAAUGUGAUUAAAGGGAGAUGGGGUUUGGGCUGGGGAGGAGGGGAGUUGGGGGUUAACCCUUAGGGGAUAGAACGCAAGGGAAAUGGGACAGGAGGGGUGUUUUUCCUCCUGUCUUCCUCUUCCCAUUCUCCUCUUUUGGGGAGUCCCCUGCUAUUCAGCUGUCUGGGCCUGGCUUUUGACUUCUCUUGAAUAAAAUGUCACCGGUCACCACUAUUGGUUCUGUUUUCUUAGGGUUUGGGCAUAGUCUCUUGAGUCAUUUCCAGAAACACCUGACCCUUUUUUAACAAGUGGAGCUCCUGCCUUCCUGAGGCCUAUGCACACUUGGAACCUUUGGUCUAAGGGUUGCACACAACCCAGGUCUUCUGACUUCUCUGGGGUCAUUUCCCCUCCUUCCACAUCCUCAGUGAUUUCCCACUCAAUCUCAUGAGAUGUGGGGUCUUGGAGGUGAUAGUGUCAUCUUCCGGAUGUGCCCCCUGCUCCCCACCGUGCCAGCUCCAUAUCCCUCAUCCCACUGCGAGCAGGAGUAGUGAACAGACCACAAAUGGACAAAAGUCCUGCCUUUCCAUGAAGGGGAAAGGGUGGGUUGUAAAAAUUAUAAAUACAUAAGGUUAGUACUGAUUGAUCCAUGACAAAAUUCUAGAAUAGGUCCCUCCAUGUUUAAAAGUGCUUAUAUAAUAAAGAGGAGAUCGGACGCUAGCAUAGGGUGUCUAAGAACCAAUAUUGCCAAAUAAGUUUUUUUUUCUGAUGGUUACUGGUCCAGUAGGUUGAGGGAAUGCCAGAGAUCAGUGAAUCUUGAUUUUGACAAGGCAUCGGCAGCCUCCGUCCCACUGUGACAGAGAAGCGUGUGCUUCCUGGUGAUGUAAUUAGACAGUUUUAGAACUGAUUAGACAGCCUCCUUAAGAGUGGAGAUAACAGCCGGGUGCGGUGGCUCACACCUGUAAUCCCAGCACUUUGGGAGGCUGAGGUGGGCGGAUCACGAGGUCAGGAAAUCGAGACCAUCCUGGCUAACACAGUGAAACCCCGUCUCUACUAAAAAAUACAAAAAAUUAGCCGGGUGUGGUGGUGGGCGCCUGUGGUCCCAGCUACUCGGGAGGCUGAGGCAGGAGAAUGGCAUGAACCCGGGAGGCGGAGCUAGCAGUGAGCCAAGAUCCUGCUACUGCACUCCAGCCUGGGCGACAGAGGGAGACUCCAUCUCAAAAAAAAAGUGGAGAUAAUAGGCCAGGUGCGGUAGCUCAUGCCUGUAAUCCCAGCACUUUGGGAGGCCGAGGCAAGCGGAUCAUGAGGUCAGGAGAUUGAGACCAUCCUGGCCAACAUGGUGAUACCCCAUCUCUACUUAAAAAAAAAAAAUUAGCCGGGCGUGGUGGUGCACGCCUGUAGUCCCAGCUACUUGGGAGGCUGAGGCAGGGGAAUCGCUUGAACCCAGGAGACAGAAGUUGCAGGGAGCCAAGAUUGCAACAUUGCACUCCAGCCUGGCAACAGAGCAAGACUCCAUCUAAAAAAAAAAAAAAAAAAAAAGAGUGGAGAUAAUAGAACUGACAGUGGAGAGAGGCGUUUAGUGCUGUACGCAGGUGUCCCUCUUCAUUUCAACUUUUAUUAGUGACUUGAAUGAGGCUAUUCAAGUUUGCAGAUACAUAAAGCUCUAAAGGAGAGCUAAGUUCUAAAAAGUUUAAUACAGGUGGGGAAAUGGGUCAAACCCAACAAGGUGAGAUCUGUUAAAGAUCAGUGUAAAGUCCUGCUCUUAUCUAAAACAAAACAAAAACAGCAUACAUACAAUUUGGAUAUGACUUUGCAAUGGAUAUUGUCUAAAAGAUCAGGGGUUUCGGUUACCAUCCAGCUUCACGGGAACCAGCAGUUUUGGGGAGGUUGCUUGAAGAGCUUCCACAAUGCAGGUCCUAGAUGGAGGGAUUUUGGCCACCCUGGGGACUGGGCUAGUUCUUGGUGCCCUGCCUCUCCCCCAGUCCUGACUAGGGGCUGGAGACCACAGAUGGAAGGAAGGGAGCUGAGGAUGCCCAGUCUGGAGCAGUGGAAGACGCAUUGCUCCAGAUACAAAGCAGAAGUAGGGUCUGCAAACCACAGGCAUGUGGAGGGGAUGAUGGUUAAAAAUGCAAGCCUUGGAGUCAGAGCUGGGUUCAGAUUCUGGCACCAGCACUUCUUAGCAUCAACCUCUCAAACUUCAGUUUCCCCAUCUGGAAAAUUGAGAUAACGAUCGGACCUACCCCUUCACUGGCCCGAAUGACAUAAAACCCUUGGUGGAGCACUUAGUAAAUGGCAGCUGGAUAUAAACUGUUAUGAGCUGCGUAUGAAGAAGAACUUCCAACCAUCGGAGUUGUUCAUCAGUGGAGCAAGAUGGCAAAGAGAUUUCCCCUGUCCUUGGAGUUGUGUGCUUGUGAGGUGGAGUGGUCCUGGCCUCUGGGUGCAGUUUGGACUUCUGCUGAGGAAAGAGCUCUUAGGGAGUAGGCGCUUAAGGAGUAGACUGUCUGACAUCCUUGGUCUAGACUUGGACACGGGCAGCUGCUGUGAAGGCUUGGCUAGAUCCUGGUGUGGGCUGCUGUGUGUGUGCUGGGGGAGGUGGCAAGUGGGGGGAUCUAGCAACACAGGGCCUAUCCACACAUACUGAAGGACAGGCCUCUGACUGCAGGCAGCACGGUGUCACCCUCAGCCCACCUCCUCCUCUUCAGAUACCUGUCUCUUGAAUUCUUUGCAAACUCCCCUCUGCUGAGUGCUGGGUGAGCUUGCAAGGCAGUGAGUUCUAGCUGAGCCAGUUAAGAGUGAGUGGCCUCGCUGCAGUGUGAGGCACAGCAGGGCUGGGGAGAAGUUCCCAUCUGAGGCUUCAGUCCCUGAGCUCAGAGGACCCCUCUGGAAUGCCAGCUGUCCUAACACUCUCCAUUGUUCCCACUUUCUUAGCAGGGAGAGAGAGAGAAAGAGAGAGAGGAGAGUGGGAGUGGGGAGAGAGAGAAAGAAAGGAGAGGGGAGGGGGAGAGAGAGGGAGGGGAGAGAGAGGAGAGGGAGGGGGGAGAGAGAGGAGGGGGAGGGGAAGGGGGUGGGGAAAGGGAGGGAGUGGGGGAGAGAGAGACCUUUGAUGAUCUGUCCUUUGCAUUCUACUCCUAGCUACUUCCAGAAAGCAUUUGAGGAAGCACCAGUACAGGGAUAAGAGAUGAAGAGACAGGCCAGGUCAGGCUCACCAAGCAGGUAACCGGAACCUUUAAUUUUAUUAUGCGGAAUGCUUAAUGUAGAGUUAAUAGGGGCUAGAGUGGCUAGGAGAGGGGACUACUGAGAUAAAUAACAGGAGACAGUAAUGAGUUACAUGUGGAUUUGGGGGGCUGCAGAACAGGAAAAUAGGGGCAGAUAUAGCUACAUACUUUAUUCAAAUACCACUGGGAGGCAAGGGGUAAGAGGCAAGGGCAGAAUGUACAGGUCAGGAUUCUAGUGUUUUCAGCCUGCUGACAGCAACCUGGGUGCCGGGCCCUGUGUCUCCUGGAGCCAAGGGUUAGGGCCUGAGCAGCUGUCACUCUCUGGGAAGCCCAGGGAGUGGGGCUGACUGAGCAGGGGCCGUAGAGCCUAGUAAGGGAAGAGGGAGCUGGCAAGGAGCCCAGGGAGGGAGGCUCUGUGAAUUGUCUCUGAUUCCUUUCCUGGAGCCCCUGCCUCGUCACCUCCUGGGAUGCGUCUCAAGGUCAUGGAGGUUGUAGUGGAGGAGGACUGGGGGCUCUUUCUCAAUUAGACAAAGAAUGAGGUUAUUGGCACAGAAUUGGAUCUGGGGGCCUCUGUGCCAACUCCUUCCUGCCUUUGGAAAGGGAGGGGGCAUUGAAGGGAUGAGAACUCCACUAAGUCCCUCGAACCCCCCACUCCCCAAUGAGGCUCCUCAAAGCUACUCUCAGCCCCUGAGUGGGAGACACGGCCAGCUCCGGGCACAGUCUCUGGGUGGCCUAGCCCUUAGGCACUGUGGCAUAGGUGGCGUGGGCAUGUCAGACCCUCACUAUCUGUGAGAGAGAAAACAGGAGUCAUAGGAGUGGUAAGGCCUCCGAUGCCACCAACCCUGAUGCUUCCCCUCCCCGAGGAGGGUGAGCAGGUCCUUCUCAGGUCCUGGGAUAGAGGGUCAUUCCUGGGGGAAGGUGCAGCCCCUCAUCUUUCAGUGUGGGUGCAACAGUCAACCUCCUUCUCCUCUGUCCAGCCUGUUCUCCUGGGGCUUUGCUGCUGGAGCCUGGAUGGGGCGGGUGGGUCAUCAGGGCAGUGAGCCAGACAGAAAGCCCCCCGACCUGUCAGCCUCUUCAGCCUCCUCAGCCUCCUCCACUGCCACCGCCAGGCCUGAGGUGGGCAAGGAACAGGGCACACAGGCUGGGGGCAGGGGCUGGGCGGGGGGGUGGUGGCGACAGGGCCCCCUUUAGGGCCGGGACAGCGUCGUAUAUACUGGCUGCUCCCAGUGUGUGGGGCUGUGGGACUGGGGCCCUGAGGGGCUGGGGUCAGAGAUGGCCGUGUAGAGGGGCCGCUGCGAGGGCCCCAUAUAGGAGAAGGCCGAGUAGAGGCCAGAGGCCUGGCCUGAGUGGCCGUAAUAUGGUCCUGAGGGCUGAUGGUCAGAGUAGUCAAACUGGGGGCGGGAGAUGGAGGGGAAGGCUGAGCCAUAGUGGGGCAGGCUGAGGGAGGUGUAGGCGAUCUGUGAGGUGGAUGGCUGGUCGGUGUAGUGUGGGGGCCCCUGGGGCCCCGCGGUCUCAGUCUUCACCUGGGCUUUGGCAUCCACACCAGGUGGUGAGACCGUGGGCAGAGCCACGCCUGGUGGCUUGGAGAUCCAGGCAGAGUGUCCACUGGCCACGGCCAGGGCGCUGCCCAGCCCAUAGCCGGCUGCUGAGUAGCUGCCCACGUGGCCUGGGUGCCCAUUGGGCGGCAGGUACUGGUCCAACUCAGCCACAUCAAAGGUCUCCAUGUUGGACAUUACCUCGUGGCUGAUCUCACCGAUGUCCACGUUGCCGAAGUCGAUGUGAGGCUUCCCGCCCUCCCCCAUGGAGCGCCCGUCCCGCUUCGGGUCUGCCUUGCCCGACUGCAGCUCUGUCUUCGGGGUGGUUGGAGGGGUGGGUGGGCCAUGGCUCUGGCCUGGGUAGAAGGGAGACAGAGCGCAAGGGGGAAGCAGGUUAGAGGCAGGUGGGCGCACGUGAACUUCCACGGUUCACCUUCAGGCAGCGGGUGCCUCUGGGAAAACCUUGUAAGUUUCACAUUUUGGCAGCAUGAGUCGGGGUUUGUUUUUUGUUUUUUGUUUUUUUGAGACGGAGUUUCGCUCUUGUUGCCCAGGCUGGAGUGCAGUGGUGCCAUCUCAGCUCACUGCAACCUCUGCCUCCUGGGUUCAAACGAUUCUCCUGCCUCAGCCUCCUGAGUAGCUGGGAUUACAAGCGCCCACCACAAUGCCCAGCUAAUUUGUGUAUUUUUAGUAGAGACUGGGUUUCACCAUGUUGGCCAGGGGUGUCUUGAACUCCUGACCUCAGGUGAUCCACCUGCGUCGGCCUCCCAAAGCGCUGGGAUUACCAGCGUGAGCCACUGCGCCCCGCAGCAUUUGUUUAAAUACUGGUGUCUUAGAUUGAUCUCUAGUUGUUUAUGAAAUUCUCAAAUCUUAGGGAUGGGUCCUGGGGAGGCCUGCCUCAUUCUGAAAAAACCUUUCUUGUGGAAAGUUCUUCCUUUCAUCAGCUUCUCUGCUGUCCAGGUGGUCUGGCCCGGCCUUUGCGCUCUGCCAGCCCCGCUUCCACACCCAUGCCGACUGUCUUCCUUGCUGAGCCUCGCUCGCCCAGGCUCCUGAGUGCUCUUUUUCACCUUUGCUGGUUGCCUGGGCCUGCUCACUGUCCUGGCCUCGUGUUGUGUCCUUUCCAACCCUUCCCUCCUCCUGAGCCCACCCUGCUUCCCAGCCCACUGGCAGGCCCUUAGCCCUGUCAUACGCUGGCCUUUGUUGCCCUGUCGUUCCUUGAGCUGCCUUCCUCCAUGGGAGGGCACUUAGAAAACUGGUCCUUGUUCCUUUGUCUGUUCACUUUCCUAUUCACAUAUUAAUUUAGCAAACUCUUAGGGAGCAUUAUAAAACGCCAGGUACUGUGCCAGAUGCUGGGGAUACAAAUGUAAAUAAAAUGGAUCCCUGUUCCCAAAAGCUCAUAGUCUAGUCAUAGAUCCACAUGCGCCCAGAGUUGGAAGUACUGUGGUGACAAUAUGCAAGGACUUGGGAGACCAGAGGAGGAGUCUAUCCGCUGCCUCAGGGAUUUGGGGAAGGUCUCAUCGGGGAAGGAUGUCUGAGUGGGGUGGGGCCUUGAAGGGUGAGAAAAAGUCUGUGUCCAGUUUCAUUCUGAGGUGGUUGCUCUGUAUGUGGUCCAGGGUCUCCUGAUGUGUGUGUGUCCCUGAAUCUUUGAAGGUGAAGAGUAUGUACACGUGUGUGGGAGGGAUGACUGCCUGGCAUCCCACUGGAGACAGAACAUGUCCAUGGUCUUAAGAGACUAGGAGCUCCCCAAGGACAGGCCUGUGCCUCCUUCAUCAGACCAGAGGCAGCGCCAAAUCCUGCACUGGCCAAGGGCUCUGUACUUCAAGAGACCUGCCUAGGCUUUUGAAUCCUGGUUCUGUGUCGGGACAAAUCCCCAGUCUUCUCUUAACCGGUUUCCUUAUCAGUAAAAUAGAGAUUGUACCAAGCAGCCCAGGCAUUGUCUCUUUCUGGAAGCCUUCCUUGACAAGAGUCUGGUGGGCAGUGGGGUGUUCUUGGAGACCUGACUGGAUGGGAUGGAUGGCCGUGCCACCUCUGGAUCUUGUGCACUUGUUUCUAUAACUAUAUAUAUAUACACACACUAUAUAUAUAUAGUAAGAGAUAGGAGGCUGGGCGUGGUGGGUCAUGCCUGUAAUCCCAGCACUUUGGGAGGCUGAGGUCAGGAAUUCGAGACCAGCCUGGCCAAUAUGGUGAAAAACCAUCUCUACUAAAAAUACAAUAAUUAGCGGGGUGUGGUGGCGUGCACCUGUAAUCCCAGCUACUCAGGAGGCUGAGGCACAAGAAACACUUAAACCCAGGAGGCAGAGGUUGCAGUGAACCAAGAUGGCACCGCUGCACUACAGCCUGGGCAACAGAGCAAGACUCCAUCUCAAAAAAAAAAAAAAAAAAAAAAAAAAAAAGACACAGAGUCUUACUACAUUGCCCAUGCUGGUCUCAAACUCAUGGGCUCAGGUGAUCCUCCUACCUCAGCCUCCUGUGUAGCUGGGACUGCAGGUGCAUUCCACCAUGCCUAGCUUUGUUUCUUCCUGUACUUAAUUCACUCGUUUUCAUCCCUGCUCCUCUCUCUAGACUAUGGGCCCCUGAGGCCAGGGACUGUAGGCUUCUCUGGUUAGUACCCCUGGUGUCCACUCCAGUGUCUGACACAAAGUAGGACUCAGAGCGUGUCCUCUGAAGGCAGAGCUCUGCUCACUGAGCACUUCCCGUGUGGCAGACCUGUGUGUGUGUCACUUUCUGUACAUUAGGAACACAGGCAAGGCAGCUGUGGUGCCAAGCAGAAGCCCUGGAGCCAAACUGGGGAAGUUCCUGUCUGUUUCUUAUCAGUAAAAUGAGAGUAACUUGCCACAGCUGAGAUCUGAGCCCAGGCAGUUUGGCUACCUCAUCACAUUGUUUGCAAUGAUUGAGUUAGUAUACAUAAGGCAACUAGCACCUAGCACAGUGCCUGGAACAGAGUAGGUACUCAAUUAAUGAUAGCUGUUAUUAUCAUUAAUGAAAAUUAAACAAGAUAGCUUAUGUCUGGCAUAAGGCCAGACACGGCAUCACAUGCCAUGUCUCCUCUGUCAGAAUGGCUGGUGGGAUUUGGGAGGCUGAGGCGGGCAGAUUGCCUGAGCUCAGGAGUUUGAGACUGGGCCUGGGAACUACAGUGAAACCCUGUCUCUGCUAAAAUACACAAAAUGAGCCAGACGUGGCGGUGUGCACCUGUAGUCCCAGCUACUUGGGAGGCUGAGACAGGAGAAUUGCUUGAACCCGGGAGGAAGAGGUUGCAGUGCACCGAGAUCAUGCCACUGCAGUCUAGCCUGGGCGACAGAGUGAGACUCUCUCCAGAAAAAAAAAAAAAAAAAAAAGAAUGGCUGGUGGGAAAGAGGCAGUGAUUUCCUCUCCUCCAUUUGAUCUUCCAUUUCUCAAAACCAUCCUGUCUUCUCCCCCUUUCGUUGUAACUGCCUCAGCCACCUCUCACUCCAUGACCUCCAUAGUCUUUUUUUUUUCUUUGAGACGGAGUCUUGCUCUGUCGCCAGGCUGGAGUGCAGUGGCGCGAUCCCGUCUCACUGCAAGCUCCGCCUCCUGGGUUCACGCCAUCCUCCUGCCUCAACCUUCUGAGUAGCUGGGACUACAGGUGCUCGCCACCACGCCCAGCUAAUUUUUUUUAUUUUUAGUAGAGAUGGGAUUUCACCAUGUUAGCCAGGAUGGUCUCUAUCUCCUGACCUCGUGAUCUGCCCUCCUCGGCCUCCACAGUCUUUAACUGGCCCUCUUUGCCCAGUAGGAUCAGCCCUGGCCACAGCCAUUUCUCCCAGCCACUUCCCCUGGCACCGGAACCCCCAUGGAGCUCCCUCUGGGCCCCUGCAGCUCUGCUGGGGCAAUUGCACAGCCUGGCACACUCUCCCUAGAGUCCAGGGUCUCAAUGCCAUCCAGCCAUCUCCUCUCUCCACUGACUGGCCUUGCCCCACCCUCAGCUCUGUCAUCAGCACUCACCUGAGGGGUGCUCGGGGUUCCCAUCUGACAUGGGGGAGCCCUCUCCUGGGUGCCGGUGGUCCAAGUGGGCGCUCUUGUAGUGGGCUUGGAUGGCGGCGGUCCCACCUUGCUCGGCCUCCCCACCAGGGCACUCUGCCUCACCCUGGGCGGCCUUCCCGUUCUUCCGCCGCCUGGGCUGGUACUUGUAGUCCGGGUGGUCUUUCUUGUGCUGCAUACGGAGCCGCUCAGCCUCCUCGAUGAAGGGGCGCUUGUCACUUUCGUUCAGCAGCCUGGGGUGUGGUGGGAGGCGGAGAGGACAGCAGAGGGGCUGGCGUGAGUGCCAGAGCACUCCAGGUUGGCCUCCCUCUGAGUGUCCAUCUUGGAAGAUGUGAGGCCCUGGGAUGGGGCACCCAGAGGACAGGAUCCGGGAUAGGGGCUGUGCCCUAUGAUUUAUGGACUGAGAGAUGUGAGGCCCAAGGAAUAACAGCCUCAGAGGGCUGCCCCCAAAUCUUUCAUGGGCUGGAGGGUGAGAGAGGGGUCAGCCCGCUGUUCCUGGCAGCCCCUGAGGAGGAGUUAGAAGUAGGAGUAGAGGUUUCAAGGGGCAGAUGCCAGUUGAGGGAAAGGAAAAACUUUCUCAUCAUCAAAGCUGUCUGCAAGUGGAAUUGGCUACUUCAUUAGGGGGUGAGCUCCCUGGGACUGAGGGCGGGCAAUAGAAGCAGCAUGGCUGGGGGAGAACUCAGUCUCUGCUACUUACUAGCUGUGUGUGUGACCUUGAGCAAAUUACUUCUCUGAGCCUGAGUUUCUUCACCUAUAAAAGGAUGAUAACAUUGGCUUAACUUGGGUGUGGGAUUGGCCAGAAUAAUGGAUGUGAGAUGCCUUGCACCAGGGCCUGGGAAGCAGGCUGAGCACCUUGAGAAAGAGGUGCUUUUCUUUCUUUUUUUUUUUUUUUUUUUCUGUGAGGGAUUCUCACUCUGUCACCCAUGCUGGAGCUCAGUGGUACGAUCUCAGCUCACUGCAACCUCUGCCUCCCAGGUUCAAGUGAUUCUCGUGCCUCAGCCUCCCAAGUAGCUGGGAUUACAAGCAUGCGCCACCACGCCCGGCUAAUUUUUGUAUUUUUAGUAGAGAUGGGGUUUCACCGUGUUGACCAGGCUGGUCUCCAACUCCUGACCUUAGGUGAUCUGCCCGCCUUGGCCUUCCAAAGUGCUGGGAUUACAGGCAUGAGCCAUUGUGCCCAGCCCAAGAGGUGCUUUUCUAUUUUUUAUUUUUUAUUUAUUUAGAGACAGAGUCUCACUCUGUCGCCCAGGCUGGAGUGCCGUGGUGCGGUCUCAGCUCACUGCAACCUCCGCUUCCUGAGUUCAAGCGAUUCUCCUGCCUCAGCCUCCCGGGUAGCUGGGACUACAGGCACGCACCACCCUGCCCAGCUAAUUUUUGUAUUUUUAGUAGAGACGAGGUUUCACCAUGUUGGCCAGGCUGGUCUCCAACUCCUGACCUCAGGUGAUCCACCCACCUUGGCCUCCCAAAGUGCUGAGAUUAUAGGCAUGAGCCACUGCGCCCGGCCCCAAGAGGUGCUUUUCUAAUGCUGCUUGCGGGGGUGGAUGGACAGGAGGAUCUAGGGGUGGCCUCUUAACUCUGGGUCCUGAUUGUGUGAAUUCCAGUGUGGUGGGACUGAGGGGGCAGAUGUGGCUCCUCUUUACCAUGGGUUGGGGUGGGGGGCACUGCCUCCUGGGGGGAUCCUAUAUCCUUGUCCAGAAGAUAGCAGAGAGUAGAGGAAGCUAGCCUCUCCUCAGACCCUGAAACAGUCCCUGAAACCAACACAUGGAGAGAAGAAGCCCUGAAGCCAGCACCCUUGCCACCGACUCCAGCCUCAGGCCAGGGUUGGAGGGUGGAGGGCAUUUAGGGUUUGGCUGCCCCAGGGUGAGGAGGGCAGGAUGGGGUACCUUACAGAGGGGGUCGAGGGGAAAGUCCAGAUUCUAGAAUCCCAGACCUUGGUACUGAGAAUCCAUGAGUCUUCGUGGGAGCAGCCUUGUCUGUCAGUCCAGAGGGCUUGUCUCUCCAGCUGCCCCACCCCUCACACCCCAGUGAGUGCCCUCUUCCCCCAGUCAGCAGAAGGCUGAGCCCUCCCUCCCCAGGCUGGGCGGGGGUGGUCAUGCCAGGCACCUCCUAGCCGGCAGCAGCAUUCUUCUGCGGCUUAGCCUCCCUGUCUACUCCCCCCACCCCCGCCCUGAGCCCAGCCCUAGCCCCAGCUUUCUCAGAGGGUCCCUCCAGCCGAGACUCUAUCAGAGUCAGUGUACACACUUAGGACAAAGAUGCCGGAGCAGGGCCUUGAGAGUCAGGGAGUGGGAUGUGGGCACCCUCUCUGAUGGCUGGGACCAGGGGAAGGGGUGGAGCAGGCCUUGAGGGUGUGACUGGGGAGAACCCACAGAGGAGAGAGCUGCUCCGCCAGCAGCGGACCCCAGCAGAGGGGCUUCUGGGAUGGCUGGGGACAUGGGACACAGAGCUUACUCUCUCACCUAUCCUUCCCUUGCCCCCUGCCCAGCUGGCAGCCAGCAUCAGCAAGAAAGUGACAGGGGUCAGAAGAGAGGGAGGAUUCCAACAUCAGAUUCCACUGCUACCUCCUAAGCUAGUUCCCAGCAUUAGCCUAACCCUGACAGAAAUCUAAGCCCGGGGCCACUGCCAUCCCCGACCCCAGCUCCCUCCUCCACCAGCUGUGCCAGACAGCUGAUUCCACCUCCACCCCAACCCCAAACCCAGCCUGCCCACCAUGUAAACCCAAUCUCCAGCACCAGUCCCCACUCAACAUUACCAGCCCCGAACCCCCAACGUCACCUUCAGCUCUCACUCCAAACCCAGUCCUCAUUUGCACCUUCCUGUCAGCCCUCUUUCUCCCUGGUCUCCCAGCUUUGGAAUGGGGGCGAGAAGAGGUAGGCCGAUGCCUCACCCAAACUGGAAACCCCAACCGGGGAGCUCCCACAGUGGAGCACUGAUUGCUGCUACCUGUGUCCUGCUAGGCCAGGGGCAUAAGAAGACUACUUGGGGAAGGGGUCUGUGGCACUGGGAACAGAGGCUGGGUGACCCCCACCACACAGGAGGGACUCUUGCCUGUGUCCGCCUUUCCAGUUUCUUGGCUCUGGUUCUUUCCAGGCAGAUCAGCCAACCCACAGGCACCACCCUGUGAUCAACCUCUACUAGCCCCUCCCCAGAUGGGCAUCAAAGGUUAGUGUGACUGUUGGGGCUCACAUGGCCCCUUAGGACCUGGGCUCCACUGUGUCUGAUCCCACACUCCCUUGGGGCACUCCACACAGUCUGUGUGUAUCUUUCUCCUUUUGGUUUUAAGACACCUGUUUUCCAGCUCUGCCUACCUAACCACCCCCCUUCUUGACAUCCCGGGAGUCACAGCUUGGGGAGGUUUCAGGAGAAGCCCCUGGAGCAAUUGGCCAGCCCAGCCCAAAUCCAAAUAUCUCUCAGGACCCCCCUCCAGGGUUCAGGGAGCCACCCUCUGUUGGCAUUGCCUUUGAUCCUUGCCAUGGUUCUGGCCCCAUCCUCCCCCUGGGAUUGGGUCCUCAGCAAGUAGUGCCAGUUUUCCUGACUGCCACACCUCAGGCUGGCCCCUGUGCACACAGCUUGAGUGAUGGCCAAGAAUAAGUCCUCCUGAAGGAAGUCCAAGCCCAGGGUUCUGGGCUGGGGGAACCUGGGGACAGGGACAAUGGAGGAGCCAAUCUUAAACCCUUGGCAAUGGGAGAUGGAGGGAGAAUGAGGUCCGUCCUUGCUUUGACUCUCGUUGGGCUCAUACUGUGGUCUUCUCAUGGUCCCCAGGGUCUGCCCUGUCUGUAUGUCUCUCCUGGUUGUCUGUUUCUCACUUGCUCUUUGUCCCCUGGCACUAAAGGUACUGGCCUGGGCCAAGCCCCACCCAGAUCUGGAUGGACCUUGGGCGGAGGAGCUAGCUGUGACCUCUGCUCUUGGGCAGAACUGGGCUGUCUGGGUCCACACAGCAGGCUGGUCGCUGAGCCCUGGGCCUGCCCUGGGUGAGCAGGGCACUGAGGGCUGAGAAGGGGCAGGGGAAGGGGCACCAAGUCUUCAGCAAACACAUGGCAAGAACAGGCCAGGGGGCUGGAUGUGAAUCUUUUGGUCUCUUGGAGACCCUCCUGCACCUCCUACCACUCUUAAGUCUCUAGACCCAAUCUCUACCCAACUGUGGCUGGCAAGGGGGAGGGCAGCAGAAGAGAGCCGUGCUCCUCUGACAAAGCCCUAAUUUUCUGGAACCCAGAUGCUCCUCACUCUUGUUCUCAUCUUCUUGCUUCCCCCCAACCUCCUGACCACUCCUCAGAGUGUAGGUGAUCCACCACUGUCACCAGGGUCAGGGGAAGUCCUCUGGACAGAGAGUAUGGGAGUCCUGGGUUCUGGCCCUGGCUCUGCUACCAACUUCUAUGUGACCUUUGCGAUUCCUUUGCCUUUCUGGGCCUGUCUCUUGGCCAGUCUAGCGAGAAUCAGGUGACUGCUACCGGCUCACAUCUCCUGGAGUCCCUGGUCUCUUUCAGAACUGCUCUGGCACUCCCGGGUGGGAGUGGGGUACUGUCUUGUUACACACAUCCCCAGGAGGCCUGGCUGAACCCCAGACCUGAGUCGAGGGUGGGAGAAUUGCUCCCUGCGGGGGAUGUUUUUCCUAGAGGUGUGGGCUGGUCUCAGGGAACCUGGGACUCUGAGGGCCACUGGGCAGGAAGGGGGCCAAGGUUUCCUUCUGGCCAGAGUGCUCAGGUCCAGCUCUGGGGCAGUGGGGAAGAGGUUGCUCAACGUUGGGGUGGGGCCCUGGCAGAGAAGAUGGCGCCGAACUGGGAGAGGGAGGAAAGGAAAGAGAUCAGCUUGGUGACUCUGAGGCAGGGCAGGAGUGGGAGCCCCUUUCUGUGUGUCCUUUCCCUAGGAGGAUGAAGAAGCCCCCAACUCAAAGGAGGGUGGCGUCAGAAAGUCCCAAGGAAGACCCCUAGGAUAGGAUGAGAUCCUGCAGCAGCAGAUUUGUCCCCGCAGUUCUUCAUCCCUCACUCUUCCAAAGACUCUCAUCUGAAUUCCUUGUUUUCUUUAAAUCUCCCCUGAGUUCUCCAUCUGACUGCCUCAGUUUCCCUGAAUCUCCAGCCAACCCUCUGGUUCUUUCCAAGCGUUUCCCUCGUAUCCUCCUGACCACAGCAGCUCGUGCAUGAGUGUGCGUAUCUGUGGGCAGGGAGUUAGUGAAGGCCUCCUUCCCUCCCUCCAAAGCCCCAGGCCCCACGGUCUGCCACCCGCAAAAUUCCAACCACGAGGGGGCGCCUUCCUGCCCGCCGCCCCGUAGGGAGACCCGGCCUAGGCCCCUGGAGUUGCGAGUUCCAGGGUCCUUGUGGUGGAAGGGCGGGCGCGGCCCCCACACCUGGUCUUCCAGCCCUAUCCAAGGAGGACUGCCAAACAGUCCCGCUCUGAGGUGCAGGAGGCCGGGCCGCCUCGGCUACCCUGAAUCCACCCGAAGCUAGAGGGCCCGAGCCCGGGGGGCGGUUGGGUGCUCACCUCCAGAGCUUGCCCAGCGUCUUGCUGAGCUCAGCGUUGUGCAGGUGCGGGUACUGGUCCGCGAGCUUCCUGCGCGCUGCCUGCGCCCACACCAUGAAGGCGUUCAUGGGCCGCUUGACGUGCGGCUUGCUCUUGCUGGCGCCGUUGACGCGCACGGGCAUGGGCACCAGCGUCCAGUCGUAGCCGCUGAGCACCUGGCUGACGGCCUCGCGGAUGCACACGGGGAACUUGUCAUCGUCCGCCUCGCCGUCCUGCUGCUCCUUCUUGACCUUGCCCAGCUCGCCUGGCCCCGGGCUGGUUCGCAGGCCCGAUCCGCCGCCGCCGCCGUCGGGCCCUAGCGAGGGCGCGCUCCCCGGGGACAGGCAGCGAGGCUCCUCCGAGCCCACGGGGCUCAGCUCCACCUCCGAUAGGUCUUGCUCCUCCGCCAUGUCGCCCCCGGCCGCCGCCGCCGCCUCGGCCGCCUCCCCCGGGCCAGCCGCCGGGGUCCUCGCAAAGAGUCCAACGCCCACCUGGAUGGAAGGAGGGCGCGAUGGAGCGGCCGCGCGCGCAGCCCCGAGGGCAGCCCGAGACAGGACACGGGCACAGCCCCGAGGUGGCGGCCCUUCCUGCUCCAGCUAAACCCACUCUGGCCUCUGGGGCCCACGCACAUGCCAGACUCUAGGUGGGUGCGUCCCGCCUCUGCGUCUUCCCACCACCUGGUCCCAACCGUCUCUUGGUGUGGGUGGCUUUUUUUUUAGUCUCCUUUUUUGGGUGGAGGUUUGUUGAUGAUAAGGAAGAAAAAAACGGAACCUUUAUUUUGCUCUAAUACCGGCCCCUGGAAUUUCCCACCUUUUCUCUCACCUUUCCUUCUUCCCUCAGCCUGCCCCAACGGGGUUUAGAGGAGAGCCAGGUGGGGGGCAAGGGCGGGGUGUCGCCUCUCUCCACCUCACAGCAGGGUCCCAGGCCUGGGCGGGCCAGGGAGGAGCAGGCUGCGCACUCACCUCCUCGGACCUCUCCUCCAGUCUGGGGCUCGUCCUUAGGAAGUGGAAAACCGUGUCCCAAGGUGUGCGGUCCAGCUCGGGGCUGGGAGGUGACGCUGGUGGGCUAGGAGGGAGGGGCGGGGGGCCCUGAGCCUCAGGCCACGGCCUCGUUAGGACGGAGCCUGAAUCCUUACCACCAACCACCCUGGCCGGACAGCCCGAGACUGACUGAGCGACUGAGCCGCUGCAGAGGGCUGGGGAAGGAAGGAGGGGGAGAGGGGGGAGGGGAGAGGAGGGGAGAGGAGGGAGGGAAGGGCAGAAGGUGGAGCCUCCAGGCUUUCCUUCAUCCCCAACACUCAGGGCUCCUCCACCCGGAGCCCAGGCCCCCCCCGCACCCAGCUCCCUGCCCUACUGCCCAGGCCCAUCUUGCUGGGGCUUAUCUUGGGCUUAGUCUGGGAGGCAGAGGGGAGGUUAGGCCGAGGAAGGAAGAGAUGUAGGCUGGAGGGUCAGAACCUGUUGGAUGGAAGAAAAUUGGGCCCAACCAGGACUCCUAACGUCUGCCUCAGGUGGCAGGAUGGGCACUUGGCAGGGGACUAGGGAGAGACGUGAAGGCGGUGAGGGUCCUCUGGGCCCUUGAGGGUGGCUGGCCUGAGCCGCUUCAUCUGCGAAAUCCUGUUGAGUGCCUAGUGUGUGCCAGGCACUGAUGCCCAGCUCCUCACCCUGCCUCCUACCUUUUCCCAGGCAGCCCUUUCUGCCCCAUCCUGCACAGUAAGAGAGACUUCUCAGGGCUCCCUCUGAGAAGUGCAGAGCCCCAGCUUGACCCCUGGUCCCUUCUCUGCAGACACCCAGCACACACACGUUCUGGUCUGGUUCAAGGUGGAAACACAAGACUAAAGCUGCCAGGAGGCCAAGGUGGGACAGGGUGGGGGCCCCCUCUCAGUAGGUCUUAGAGGCAUUUUGGGUUGCUACCUCCUGGGACCCACCUCCUUCCACACUGGGCUCACCCUGUCUUGGGAGAGGGUAGGGGAGUCCUAGUCCUGAUUGUCACGAAGUCCUCUACUCCCCCACCCCAACAAGGGGUGGGGACUUGCCCUGCCUCUUCCCUCCUCUGCCGACCUCUCCCUCCCUGCCCUUUUCUUUCCUGUCCAUGCUCCGUUGACACCUUUUCCUCUGUCUUUCCUUGGCCUCUCCUCCAAAGGCCACAGUGCUGUUCUCUUAACUGAGGGCAGCACCGCUGGGGUGUUGAGGCCGAGGUGGGGUGUAUGUGGGGUAUGGAAUGGAGCUGGGGCCACAUUGGCAACUAUGUGUCAUUCUGAGCUCCUCAGCAGCUGGGCAAGGCCCCAAGCCCACCCCAAGGGGUCCUGUCUGGAGUGGGCUGCAAGGGGUCUGGGGAGGCAAGGCCUCAUGCUUGGGAAAGGCCAAAGGGGUGUGGGGGGUGGGAAAUGGGACACAAUGAGGUAGUCACACGAGGCAGAGGCAUGUUGGGGUGGGGGGAGCGGACACUGGAACACACACACACACACACACACACACAUGCUCACACACACAACCAGCCAGACAAUCGGGCCAGUGUGUCUGGGGCCUCGGAGCCCAGUGAAUUAGGAGUUUGAUAAGGGUUUUCUCUUUCUCUCGCUUGCUGGCCUUGGACAAUCUCCCCCCAGUUUUCCUCGACGCCACCCCCGGCGCUGCCAACCCUCCUCCCCCCGCCUCCCUUCUCUUCCCUGUGCCCAGACUCUUGUUCGGGGCCUUGAAACAGUGAGCUGUCUUUGUUCGAAAUACAGGUGAACGGCAAUCAUGUGAUUAACACACACACACAUAAAAAGCUUUUUAACAGCGCCCGCUCGGCCUCAGAACCGCCCGGAGAGGAGCCGCCCUGGAUGGACAGAGGGACGAGGGACGAGCAUCUGCCCAGUCGUGUCCCGGCUGCCCUGCAGUCGCCUCCAACACCCGCUGCUGCCCGCCCGCUGCCUGCCUGCCUGGCAUCUCUCUCUCCCGGUGGGUCCCCACUCAUCCUUCCACCCCUCAGUUCCUCCUCUUUGAGGAAAGGACCUCCCCGCUCUCUGCUGUGUCUGUGACUGGCCUGAGACCCCCCUGGGGCAGGAGGGGUGGUUGUGGAGGGAAAGAGCCCAGAGUUAGGAGGUGGAAUGUGGGGUCCCACAGCUGCCCCCUCUCUAACUCCCUGCUUCCUCCUUUGCCCUCCUUGGUCCAGCUGUGCCAGGAUGGGGGUUGGGGUAGCAGUGGGCACGCUCUGUCUGCAGGAAGCCACGCUAGACAGAAGGGGCCACUCCCUCUCUCCCUUGUCCUCGCACAGACACUGGCUUCCUCUCAGGGCUGUGCUGGGCUUUUUGCUGAGCAGUGUUGGGUGAGGCAGGUGGGCCUGCAGGCGGGGUGGGAAGGGCUGUCAGAUGACCAGUGCUGUGUGUGUGGUUGGGGCCCCUGCUGCAAACACAUCCCUGCCCACCAUGCUGGCAACUGGGGUCCCCUCCAUCCCAUCCCAGGCCCUGGGAACCCAGUGUUCUCCAGCAGGGGAGGGUGAAGGACCCACACUCAUUCGUGAAGAGCAGGGAGCUUGGAGAGGGGAGGGAUCCUGGCUGAAGACACCUGGGCCUCUGCCCCAGCAGGACAACAGGAGGGCCAGUGUCACCUUCUGCUCCUUUCCCUGCUGGAGGUGGCAGGGGUCCCUUUACCCCUCAUUCUUGACCCUUCUCCAGGGAUGCUUGUGACCUCCUUACCCCACCCCCCAUCACCUCUCUGUCCUGAAGUGAGGGUUCGUCACCGUCCAUGGCAAGGUGUGGUGUCUGGUAGGCUGUGACCUGCCCUCUCUCAGGGUGUUUAUUCCGCAGCAGAGAGGGGUCUGCGGUCUGAGUGUAAUGGUGGAAAUCCAGGCUUCCUUCCAUGGCCCAAGGAGGCCUUUCCGGAGCAACAGGGUUUUCCUGGGACUCGGCCUGGCUUUUGUUAAGGCAGGUCCCAGAUUUGCUCAGAAGAUGGGCCCCAGAGAGGAGGAGAGGAAAGGAAUACCUGUCAGUCAAACGUGAAGCCCACUGGUGACACUGCCUGGCAGAGCUGCCUCCGGUCAGCAGUGACCCUUCACCCCCCAGCUCCCAAGUCCUCUUCCUGAGGGAGCUGGCCCGGCUUUAUGGAAGGCUCUGCCUGUGUUCCCCACCUUGGGUCCCUGGUCCCUCACCUGUCACAUGGGGCGAUGGUCACCGUCCCUCCCUGCCUGCCCUGCAGGAAACACUGAGAUGAAGGUCAGGAAAUCUGCUGGCUGCAGAGCCAGGGGCCAUGCAGGAGUGAGGGAUGGUCUGGUCAAGGUGAGGCUCUGCCCCAGCCUCAGUUUCCCCACACAGGCAUGAGACUGUCUUCCUAACUCUCAGAGGACAGGGCUGAGAUGGGAUGAGGGAACACAGGGAAAGCGUUUAGCACCUCUGAGUGCUGUGUGGAUGUGACCUGGGGGGUCCUGGCCAUCCACUCUUUAAUUCUGUCUGGCCUGUGCACCCUCCUACCUCCAGUUUCCCUGCGGGGGCCUUUCACAGGGCCUGGCUUGUGGAUACGGGGUUUGGCCUAGGGCAGUGCUUCUCAAAUGGGAAGGCGCACUGGGAUUCUUCAGGUUGGGGUGGGGCCUGAGGUUCUGCAUUUCUAAUCAGUUGCCUAGGACUGGCUCUAAUUCUUGUUGAAUUUAGAAUCACUUGUGGAGUUAAGAAAAACAUAGUGGGCCUUGGCUGGGUGCAGUGGCUCACACCUGUAAUCCCAGCACUUUGGGAGGCCAAGGUGGGCAGAUGAUGAGGUCGAGAGAUCGAGACCAUCCUGGCCAACAUGGUGAAACCUCGUCUCUACUAAAAAUAAAAAUAAAAAAUUAGCUGGACAUGGUGGCAGGCACCUGUAAUCCCAGCUACUUGGGAGGCUGAGGCAGGAGAAUCGCUUGAACCCGGUUGCAGUGAGCUGAGAUUGCACCAUUGCACUCCAGCCUGGGCAAAAAGAGCGAAACUCUAUCUCAAAAAAAAAAAAAAAAAAAAGAAAAGAAAAAAAGAAAAACAUACUGAGCCAGGCGUGGUGACUCAUUCCUGUAAUCCCAGCACUUUGGGAGGCCGAGGCGGGCAGAUCACCUGAGGUCAGGAGUUUGAGACCAGCCUGGCCAACAUGGUGAAACCCCAUGUCUACUAAAAAUACAAAAAUUAACUGGGCAUGGUGGCACGCACCUGUAAUCCCAGCUACGUGGGAGCCUGAGACAGGAGAAUCACUUGAACUCAAGAGGCAGAGGUUGCAGUGAGCCGAGAUCGCACCACUGCACUGCAGCCUGGGUGACAGAGUAAGGCUGUGUCUCAUAAAAACAAACAACAACAACAACAACAACAAAAAACAUACUGGAGCCUAGAUCCCACUCCAGACUGGUUGAUUCUGAAUUUCUGAGGCUGAGGUGCAGGCAUGAAGUUCCCUGGGAGGUCUUCACAGAGUCUCUGGAUCCCUGAGGCUGUGAAUGACCCCCUUCCAGAGCCAAAAUCACCAGGGAUGGAGGAGGGGUCUUGGGUACUGGACCCACCAGCCAGGCAGAUUAUACUGGGGUAUCCGGAGAGCUUUGGGGUGUGGCAGGGGAGGGCCUAUGCACUGGGAAGGUGGAGGGCCGACGGGCACAGGUUAGUGGUCGAGGGCAGCGUAGUGACAGACAGAAGCUACCCUGCGGGUCUUCAGCCGAGUCUGAGUGCGCUGGGGUGGCUGUGGGAGCUCCCCUGAGCGUUUUCUAGGCUACCUCCACCUUUGGAUAAGGCUGUGUCAUCCUCAGUCUCUGAUGUAGUGGAAAGUGACUUGAAGUCAAGAAAUCCUGCCACUAGUACCCAAGGGGCCUUAGGCAAAUCAUGCUAUUAACCUCUGGCUUUUGCAUAUGUACGAUGUUGAUAAUCUUAUGCACCGUUGAUAUCCCCAAGUGAUAAGAGAAUUAAAUAAGAAUACACACACACACCUCCCACUACCUAGCAUAGUGACUGCUCAAUAAAUGUGAGUCAGAGGAAAUCAUUUAGCUAUUAGGCCAGCACUGGGAGGUGUGGAGGAUGCUCACCUCAGGUCAAGUGCACAAGUAUUAACCGAGCAGCCACCGGGGCCUCACAGUCAGGAGUUUAUCAUUUGCCUUUUGAAUCCUAAUGUCAGACCAGGUGGCAUUCCUGCUUGGGAUGACAAGCUCCUCUGUCAUGGGUGGGCCUCCUCUGCCAUGCCCCUUAACAGCGAAGGCGACACUCUAGGGCCUCCCCAGAUGCCGGCUCCGCCCUGAGGGCUCCUGUCAUCGGACUUCAUCCUCCUAACAACCCUCUGAGUAGAUGCUAUUAUUCUCAUUUUAGGGAGGAAACUGAGGCACAAAGCGAUUCAGUGACGGGCCUGAGCUCACCCAGUGAAUGAUGAUAGGGUGUGAACUGGGACCUGUGGUUGGUCCCAGCCCAGCCCCUGACCACUCUGCUCUAUUGCCCCUAGGCUGCAAGUGCAGCUGCAGGUGGGCCUGCUCCUGCCUCCUCUCCUUGCCUGGGCCUUUGGGCCUGCUCCGCCUUCCCCUGGAGCGCUGUCUUCCCUCUGCCUGCUGGCGGUCUAGGCAUUGCUGCAGCCCCACUGAGAGGUCCUCUUCCAGGACACACCUUGGGCACCUUGGUUGGAAUUCUUUUCCCUAUGACUUUUCCUCAGAGGAGAAGACACCUUCAGAUGUGCUCUGCCUCCUUACUGAACAGCCUGGAGGACAGGCCAGUCUCCACUUCCUAUUGGGAGCCCCUGAGGCCAUGCUCAGCCUUGGCUCACCUUCUCUGAGCUGAGUUGCUGUCAGAGUUCCAAGGAGGAAAAGACCAGGGAGGCUGGAGCGGGCAGGAGUGGCUUCCUGGAGGCAGAGUGUCUGAGCUCUGGGGGAGGAUGAUGGCAUUCCAUGGCCUGUCCCAACAGGGGCUCUUGCCCCUCCCUGUUUCUGGUGCAAGCAGAGGGUCUCGGACCCAGGCCAGCGAGGCAGCUCCCGGGGUUGGAAUCUUCCUUCGCUCCCAAUUCCACCCUUUCUGGAAACCAGGAAGCUGGGGCCAGUGCCCAGCACUGCCUCUGGCAGCCUGGCCUCUGCCCUCUUCUGAGAAGCCUUCAGAGAAGUUGACUGCCCAUUCCUGCCAUCUGUACCCAGCUGCUGGAACGCCCUUCCUGGCGUCUGCCCUGAGCCUCUCCAGCUGCUGGGAACUUCUGUGAAUGUGUCCUCUGUGCAGGGCACUGGGCCAGGAGCUGGGACUGGGAGGUGAGAGAGACCAGACCUUGGCUUUGAGGAGCUGAGGGUUUGAUGGGAGAGACCGAUGUAGAAACCUGGAAUCUGGCACAGCCAAACAGGCAGCUGGAGCUGGGGUCAAGACCCAAUGGCUGUGGAGGCCCUGUGUUGCCUUGGCAACCUUCUUCCCUCUCUGGGCCUCAGUUUCCCCAUCUGUAAAAUGUAAAAUCAGCAGGCUAGCUGAUCUCUGAGAGUGUUUGCAUAUUUGAUAACCCAUGAAUUGUAUUUCAAAACAAGAGGCCCAUGCCUGAUCCAGUGUUUGCAAGGUGAUGCCUCAGACCCUUGGUGUUCCUCAGGACACUGAUAGGCAUCUCUUGAAAGACAUUUGGUAAACACUGCUUUCUGCUUCCUCUUUUUAGAGAUGUAAGGGUGGGACGUGGUGGUUCAUGCCUGUAAUCCCAGUACUUUGGGAGGCCACGGUGGGAGGAUUGCUUGAGUCCAGGAGCUCGAGACCAACCUGGACAACACAGUGAGACCCCCGUUUCCAUUAUUAUUAUUAUUAUUAUUAUUAUUAUUAUUAUUAUUAUUAUUAUUAUUUGAGACUGGCUCUGUUGCCCAGGCUGGAGUGCAGUGGUGUGAUCUCGGCUCACUGCCACCUCCACCUCCUGUGCCCAAGCGAUUCUUCUCCCUCAGCCUCCUGAGUAGGUGGGACUACCAGCACAUGCCACCAUGCCCGGCUAAUUUUUUGUAUUUUUAGUAGAGACGGGGUUGCACCAUGUUGGCCAGGCUGGUCUUGAACUCCUGACCUCAGAUGAUUUGCCUGCCUCGGCCUCCCAAAGUGCUGGGAUUACAGGUGUGAGCCACUGUGCCUGGCCACCAUUAUUUAAAAAAAAUUUUUUAAAAACUGUUUAAGUAAAAGAGAUGCAUUGCCUCUAAGCAUGCUAAAAGUUCUAAAUUCUGCAGUUAAAAACUGCUCUUUGUUUAAAAUAUUUAAUAUGAAUCUUCAAUUUAUUAUUCUAUUAUUUUUACCACCUAUUAACAUCUUGUAGAGUUUUUGAUGGAAACCAGUUUCACCCUGUUCUGGAGAGGACAUAGUUGCCUGAGGUGGACGUGGAGGCACCAUGGGCCCUGAGUGAGAUUGCAUGUUCCUUACUUUGGGGUCACCCUGCCUUGGUUUCCAACUCCGUUCAGACCUGUUUGACGUGUACCAGGUGACUACUCAGUGUCAGGCCAGGGAAGCAGCUGAAUAGAAUAUGGCACUGACCCCCAAUUCCCUGUGUUCCCAUGCCUUCAGAGUUCUCAUUGUCCUGCAUUGUCCCUGCUGGGGUGUGGACUUGAGGGCUGGGUCCUUCCCGCCUCCUCCGUGGUGCCUGUUACAUAGGAGUGAUGGCAGCAGAUGAAGGGCUUGCAUGGAAGAGAAUGUGUGCAGGCAGCAUGCGGGGAAGGAAUGAGCACGUGCUCCUGAGUUAGACAGUCCAGGUUUAAAAAAACAUUGUUAGAGAUGGGGUCUCGAACUCUUGGGCUCAAGUGAUCCUUCCACCUCACCCUCCUGAGUAGCUGGGACUAUAGGUGUGUGCCACCAUGCCUGGCUCUAGCUCCAGGUUUGAAUCCUGACACCUCCAUUUAUUAGCUGUGUGUCCUUGGCAAAUGAGUUAAGGUCUCUGAGUCUCAGCUUCCUUCCAGGUUGUGGUGAGGAUUAAAGCAGAUAAUGUAUGUAAACACUUAAGACAGGGUCUGGCGCAUGACGGAACCCAGUAAAUGGUGGCUAUUGUUACCAGCAGCUUGGGGAUCUGCCGCCAAGGUGGCUGUUGGUUGACCUUGGGUUUAGAGUAGUCAUUGCUUCUUCUUUUUUUUUUUUUCUAGACAGAGUCUCACUCUUUCACUCUGUUGCCUAGGCUUGAGUGCAGUGGUGUGGUCUUGGCUCACUGCAACAUUUGGCAUCCAGGUUCAAGCAAUUCUCCUGCCUCAGCCUCCUGAGUAGCUGGGAUUACAAGUGCACACCACCAUGCUUUGCUAAUUUUUAUACUUUUAGUAGAGACGGAUGGGGUUUCACCAGGCUGGUCUCAAACUCCAGACCUCAGGUGAUUCGCCUGCCUCGGCCUCCCAAAGUGCUGGGAUUACAGGUGUGAGCCACCGUGCCUGCCCCCUGGCUAAUUUUUAUAUUAGUUAUUGCUUCUUAUCUUGUCAAAAUGCUGCCAUCAGAUGUUCCCCGUCUGUUCCCAGUCACCACGGAGGCUGCAGAGCCAGGGCCGAUGGCUAUCCAUGGAACCAAAGCAGAAGGGGAAGCAAGUGACUGAGCUCACAUGACUGUUUAGUCAUGGAACUGGACAUGUCUGCUGUGACAUUUUGUUCCCAGGGUUCCUGGGGACCUACCCUAGGCAAGCUCCUGCUGUCUGUGGGGUAAAUAAAGAGGGGUGAGUGUGCCCCUUGUCUUUAGGGAGCUUGUUCAUUCAUACAUGUCUAGACACUAGGCAACAUGGUACAGACAUGCAUGAGGAUUAAGAGAGUGGGGAAGAUGGAGGGAAGGAAGAGAGGGGGCAGAGGGGACCUUUAUGAGAUGGGUCUAUUGGUGUUGUCCCUGGAGCGGAAAAGAGCUGUCUGUAAAUAUGGUCUGAGCAGGGUGGGCUGCACGUGGCUCAUGAGACCUUUGUCCUUUCACUACUGGUAGGCAGCUGGCAGCUUGAGGGAAGGGGCUUGUCAAGGUUGCCCAGCUUAGGAACUGACAGUGGGACUAAGUCUUCUCAUUCCAGAUUCCUUGUCAUUUUCCUCUGUGAUCCAGGCCAUUGCCCCAGACCAGGGCUGGGCAGGAAGGGAGCUCAGCCCACCCAUCUUCCUGCUCUCACUGGGUUUACUGCUGUCCCUUAAAGGUAAAAAUGGGGUGAUCCAGUCAGAAUUUAGUGUUUGUCUGAGCUUGAAGGAUCCUCCUCGCCGACAUAAGGUUUCCUUAUUCUUCGCUGAUGUCACUUGUUAAUGAAAAUGGGAGCCGAGUGAUCAUGAGCUGAGCUGGGGAUCCAGAGACCAGAGUUCAAGGCUGGCCCUUGCCCCAUUUACCAGCGAGAUUGGGAUAAGCUAAGUAACCUUCCCAUGCCUCAAUCUCCUGUCUGUAAAAUGAGAAUCACGAUACCUGCAAUGUCACAAGGAUAAAAAGGGCUGGGCACAGUGGCUCACGCCUGUAAUCCCAGCACUUUGGGAGGCCGAGGCAGGUGGAUCACAAGGUCAGGAGAUCGAGACCGUCCUGGCUAACAUGGUGAAACCCCAUCUCUACUAAAAAUACAAAAAAUUAGCCGGGCAUGGUGGCGGGCACCUGUAGUCCCAGCUACUCGGAAGGCUAAGGCAGGAGAAUGGCGUGAACCCGGGAGGCGGAGCUUGCAGUGAGCCGAGAUCGCGCCACUGCACUCCAGCCUGGGCAACAGAGCAAGACUCCGUCUCAAAAAAAAAAAAAAAAAAAGAAGUAAGGAAUGGCAAGUGCUCAGCCUAGCACCUUUGACAAAAACAAGACCUAGUAGUUGCCUCUUUCAGUCAUUUCAACUGCCAGUUAAUGCCCCACAUUUUCCAGAUGGGAUGGCUUAUGUCUUGGCUAUAAUCAAGCCCGGGAAAACCUCUUCCCUUUCUAGGGUGCAGAGUUGAGCUUACUGAGAUCACAACAGGGAACCCAGGCACAGCCCUGGGGUGUGUUCACAUGUCAGGGGCCUCGGUUCACACAGGAAGUAUAAUAUCUGCUAGGCUGUCAGGCUGAGGGCCUCACGCACACCCACCCCAGCUCAACUUCAGCUGUGUGUGCUUCACUGUGAGCAGGUAUUAUUUUGUUUUGUGUUGUUUUUCAGACAGGGUCUCACUCUGUGGCCCAGGAUGGAGUGCAGGGGUGCCAUCACGGCUCACUGCAGCUUCUACUUCCCGGGCUUAAUCGAUCCCCCACCUCAGCCUUCCAAGUAGCUGGUACCACAGGCACCAGCCACCACGCCUGGCUAUUUUUUAUUUAUUUAUUUAUUUGUUUAUUUUUGAGACGGAGUCUCUCUCUGUUGCCCAGGCUGGAGUGCAGUGGCGUGAUCUCGGCUCACUGCAAGCUCCGCCCCUCGGGUUCAUGCCAUUCUCCUGUCUCUGCCUUCCGAGUAGCUGGGACUACAGGUGCCCGCCACCACGCCCGGCUAAUUUUUUGUAUUUUUAAUAGAGACAGGGUUUCACCGUGGUCUCGAGCUCCUGACCUCGUCAUCCAACCGCCUCGGCCUCCCAAGGUGCUGGGAUUACAGGCGUGAGCCACCGCACCCAGCCAAUUUUUGUAUUUUUUUUGUAGAUACAGGGUUUCACGAUGUUACCCAAGCUGGUCUCAUUGAACUCCUGAGCUCAAGCUAUCCUCCCGCCUUGGCCUCCCAAAGUGCUGGGAUUAUAGGUGUGCGCCACCUGCACAGUUGUUUUAUAUUUACCUCACCUCUCUAUCAGGUGGCAAAUUGAGAAAUCAGAGAGUUUAGGGCUUAGAACCCAGAGUUGAAAUCGCAGUGACUGCUUUGGCAGGUGCAUUGGGAGGAGCUGCGCCCGACUCUGCCAAGGUCCCAACUCCUGCUGUGUGAUCUUGGGGAAGCCAGCCACCCUCUCUGGCACAUUCUCCAUCAGUGCAUUGAGGGAGCUGGCCUCUGACAUCUAUCAAAUUUGCUAUCAGGGGCUUUAGGGCUCUACUGGGACAGGCCCACAUUUGCUUUUGUUUCCCACCUUUUGUCCCCCAAGUGCUCGGGGUUGGACAUGUGAGCGCACAGCAGAUGCUCAAUAAGUGCUUGCUGAACCUCAGUGAUCAGAGAUAGCUUGGCGGGUCUGUCUCCUGGGUCUGUCAUUCCCUUAGCGCUGCGUGGGGAGUCCCCUCACAUCCUUCCCUGCUGGGGGGGCCUCCUCCUGGGGGAUCACCUAAAGCUCAUGUCUACAGAGACGCUCUCUCAACCCUCCAGUACCAGCUGUUUUCUCUGACAGCACCCUGGACUUUUCCUUUGUAGCACUCAUUGCAAUUUAUGAUCACAUAUUUAUUGGCGGAUUAGUUGUUCAUUGUCUGUCUUCCCCACAAGGAUGUCUGCUUCGUGAGGGCAGCUUCGUAAGUCCUCAGUGAUCAACUGAGUGCCUGAAUGAAUGAAUGAGUGGUGAGGACAGAAUGGGGGGUAAAAAGCUGGGAGAGGCAGGUACAGUGGCUCACACCUGUAAUCCCAGCACUUUAUGAGGCCAAGGCUGGUGGAUCGCUUGAGCCCAGGAGUUGAAGACCACCCUGGGCAACCCCAUUUCUACCUUGUUAUCAUGGCGAAACCUCGUCUCUACUAAAAAUAAAAAAAAAAUUAGCUGGGUGUGGUGGUGUGUGCCUGUAGUCCCAGCUACUCGGGAAGCUGAGUGAGAGAAUCACCUGAGCCUGGGAAGUUGAGUCUGAGAAGUGAGUCUUGAUCGUGGCACUGCACUCUAUCCUGGGCAACAGGAGUGAGACCCUGUCUCAAAAAAAAAAAGAGCGAGGAGGAGGCUGAGGGUUAGAUGAGGCUGUCAAGGGCCUCUCACUGAUGGAGGCGGUCAUGACUCCUAGUCCAGUGCUCUUCCUUCUUCUGGAGCAGGGACACCCUGGGGGACCAGGCUGGGUUUAAUGGGCAGCCAAGCCCCUGAGGACCUAGGGAAGAGGAGGAGGGGAUGGGGGAUCUGAGCCAGCUCCACCCCUUCCCCCAGCAGGCAGGAAGGACAGGGCAGAUCUGUCAGCUUCAGACACCACUGCCCCAGGGGACCCAGCCCUGAGCCCAGGGAGGCAGGGAAAGAGCGGGGGACAGGAAGCACCCGGGUCUUCCCCUCCUCCCUUUUGCCCCACCCUCCGCCCCCAUCUCUGGCGAGAGAGCUCACAGCCCCAGGCCUUGGCACUAGGGGGACAAGGGCGGGGCAGGGGGGACAGAAAUCCCGUUCUGGGCAAAUCCCUUCCUCUCCCUCAUUUGGUUUCUGGCCUCAAAUUGGGGACUGCCCUGGCAGCCCCUGGAGAGCUUGGCUGGGGCCUUGAGGCAGAAGGGAUGGAGCGAGAGGGAGAGGGCACUGCCCGCUUAUGCCCUUCCUGUGUGCCCAGCCCUGUGCAGACCUAGCUGCAGUGUCACUCAACAGGAGGAAGAGCCCUGGGCGGGACCUGGGAGGCCUCACUGAAAGGCUGGGCUCUGUCAAGAAUUGCUGUGUGACCUUGGGUGGGGCACAGCCCCUCUCUGGCCGCUGUCAUUCUCCUCAUCCGCCAAUGUGGUCCAAACCUGGGGCCAAAGAACACAAGCCCCUGGGGAGUUUUAAAAGACUAAUUCCCAGGCCCCAUUCUGAGUGGUAGAUUUGGGUGGGACAUCUGUAUUUUUAAAUCUCUGCUGCGAUUAUGAUGCACCUGGUGGAGGCACUACUGCCAUAGAUGGUCUAAGGGCCUCUCGCCAGCCUUGAAACUCCCACCCCUAGGGCAGGCCACCCCACUCCUGUGUGCUACUCGGGAAGGCAAGGGCCGCAGUGGCUGGCUGCAUCCUCUGGGGUGCCAGCUGGGACACAGGUGGCAGGCCGUGGGGAGCAGGGUGCUGCCUGGGGAGGGUGUGUGCUGUGGACCUGCCAGGAACAAACACAGAGGGUCCUGGGAGGGCCCUGAGCUUCCCAGCUGGAGUCUCCCCUCCAUCCCCUCCUCCGAAGGCCUCUUCCCCCUGACCUUUCUCCCUUCUUUUCCACUUCAGCCUCCACCUUGUUUCUUUCUCUGUCCAUUGCUCCCUCCUUCUCCUCUUUCUGUCCCCAGCCUCCUCUCUUUGGGAAGCUUUUUAAUUUUGACCCCAUAUCCUACAGUUGGUUGCUCCUGCCUCUUGGUGUCCUUCCUGUCCUGGCCCUCCUGCCCUGGCUCCCUGUCUCUCUCCAGCCCUGUCUCUGUCUCUCCCUGUUUUUCUCUCCCUGAUGCGUUCUCUCUCUCCCUCCCUCCAUGAAUUUCUCUGUCUCUGUCCUGUGCCACCUCUCAUCUGCCCUGCCUCUGUAAAUGUGGGGAGGACCCUGGGAAAAUGACAGAGAUGGGAAGAGCUGACAAGUUAGAGAAACCAAGGCUUGUGGCAACCCGCAGUCUUCCCCACCUGGCUCUAGCCCACCUUCCCCAGGCCACCCGGCUCUGUCCUCUGCAUGCCCUGGGUCACCCUGCCCCUCCCUCGUGCCUAUGCCCAGCUCCGCAUCUCCCUCUUCCCAUUUCCAGCUUCCCUGACACUGCCUCGGGGCCCUUUCUCUGGCUGUCCCAGGGACGUCACCUCCUGUGAGCCCACAGCUCACUGUCUGUCGAGGGGGGACAGGCAGGAGGUGAGGAUGCGUCCGAGUCUCCCUGGGACACGACCCUCACAGAGUCAUGGACUGCAGGAUUUGCACCAUCCCCUGGCACGAGAGCCAGGGUUGCCCAGAUUGAUGGAAGAGCAGGUGUUUGUGUCCCCUUCCAGUGAGAGCUUUCCAGCACCCAGAGAGCCAAGACGGCUUGUGGAAUUGGGGAAGAGGCAGGGAGAGGGUGGGAAGUGGGAGUGGAGGGGUAUGUUCUUCCCCUCCCGGGGCCUCAGUUUCUCCUCACAAGCUCUUCCCUCUCUCUCAUUGUCUAAGCCUUUCCUUCCCGCCUCUGGUGCGAUUGGGGGUGGGGCAGGGGUAGGGAAUGAGGGGAUGUUGGGCUUUUACUCAACAGAGCAAUUUCUCCUGUGAUCAAAAGAGGCCAUGGCCGCCUCAUCUCUCCUCGGAGACCUGCCCUGACAGGUGGUGUCCUGCCUCCAGUCCGUGUUAACCCCCUCAAGGCCAGGGCCGGGCCGAGGGUCUGAGCCUUCCACCUGCCCCUUGAAGGGGCCUCCCUGGGGUCCAGAGACAUCAGAGUGUCCCUGGGGAGGCUGUGGACCCUGGGCCUCACACUUACAUCUGGACAGGCCUUCUGACCUCCAGGGCCUGGUGAGAACCUCAGGUGAGGAGUUGCUGUCAGGCUCCCUGGGCAGGUUGGGGUGGUCCUGCUGUCCCACCCUGGGGACUUUAUUCCAGGGGCUGUGGGCUGGAAGGAGCCCCUGUUCCUUUCAGACUCCCUCUCUACACCCUCCCUACUGCUGGCCCUGUGGCCCUGGGUGUGGGAUGUGCAGAGGACCAGCCAGGAGAAGGGUUAAGUCAGGGACUCUUGGGAUGGCUUUGGCCACGGCCAUUCCUCCGAGAGAAGAGAACAAGGGGCCCAUUCUGUGUGUGGGAAUUAAUAGCAAAGAGUCAUCUGGGGUGUCACUCAAGCACUGAUCGACUCCCAGAGGAAUGUGAGAGGGAGAGAGAGAGGGAGAGGAGAGGAGAGGAGAGGAGAGGUGUGGUGGGGGCUGAGACGGAGAUGUCAAAGGCAGGGCAUUAGGGUCUGGCUGUUACAGGAGCCUGCCCUGGUAGGAGGACCCGCCGCCCCAAGAUGGGUCCUGCUUUUCACCACAGACGCGCCUCCGUCCCUACACAGGAUGAAGAUCCCCUCCUGUCAUUCCCUCACCCCUUCUGUCUUCCCUCAUUCCCGGACGGCCGUACCCUCCACCCUGAGGUAGGCCUGUUGGGCAGCUGGCCCUGAGUUCUGGGCUCUCCCAGUCUGCCCCCAUCUUUGCUGAGAGAUCCAGGUGCUCCUUGUGGGAAAUGCCCUGGGGAAGGUGCUGUGGAGUGCCAGCCUGGGGUCCUGAGUUGUACCCUCUGUCCCAGGAUCCAGGAGCCCCACUCGCCUGGCUGCAGGCCCAGUUCAGACACAUUCCUACCGGGUGGCUGCAGGCACCUUUGGCUGCCUGCAUGUGGGGACGCUGGAGCUUGUCAGCCAUCACAGGGGGCUCAGCCUUCCUCAUCUGCUCAGGCCCCUGUGGCAGCCUCAGCCUGGCCUGUGGGUGAGGACCAGCAGGCAUCCUGACAUCUGAUUGUCACACCCUAAGGAAGGCCUUGGCGAGGCUCCAGGAGGCCUAGGAGGGUGUGGCGCUCUCCUGCUCCAGUUGUGGGGCUGAGUCAGAAUCCUCCCAGGUCAUCUGCCCCUGGGUGUCCUGACACCCCUUCCCCUCCCCAGGGCCUCAGCCUGGCCACCGAGCCGAAAUGACCCUAGACUCUGUGGGAUGCAGAGGCAGUGGGGUGCGGAGGAUGAGGGCUUUGGGGCAGUCAGAGCAGGGUGCUCCAUCCUUGGCCCUGUGACCUGGGCAGAGCUCCUUUGUCUCUCUGAGCCCCGGGGUUUCCUCUUGAAAAUGGGUCAUGUCAUAACUGGCAGGUUCAGAGGUAAGAGAAGGUAACAGGUGUCAAGUGCCCGACACAAUAGCCAACCACUGUGUGUUGUUAUUUUUAUUGUGAUGAUUAUUGUUAUUGGAGGGCUGGGCAGCCUCCACUACCCUUGGGCUGGAAGGCACACCGUGCACACCAUUUGACUGCCUGGAUCUGCACCUGGCAGCCUGUGCCCGCUCGGCGAAUCGCAGGGAUCCCAGCGCUGUUCCUCUUCAGCUGUGGUUUUGGCGAGGGUGAGCUUCCCGGCCCCCAGACCUCCUGUGUGCCAGCGUCAUUUCCAUAUCUGGUGACUCAUCCUGCUGGUCCUGCCGGAACAUGAUGCCUCCCCUGCAUCAUGGUGCAGGCACAGUGCGUGCAGCACAUGCAUGGUGCAGGCACAGUGUGUGCAGCCACGGGCCUCGGUUCCUCCCCUGGGAGUUGGCCACCUGUGCCCCCACGGUAGACUCUGACGUGCUAAAGCCUGAAGAGAGCUUAGCAGUUGUCCAGCCGGACCUUCUUAUUGUACUGACAGGGAACUGAGGUCCAGAAGAGAGGGCCUUUCUGGGGCACUGUGGAGUAAACAGAGUUGGCAGGCUCUUCUACAUUGGGCUAGGAGUCUGGACUCCUGGGUUCUUGCCCAAACUUGGGUGCUAGGGGCCAAGUGGGCUGGGAAAAUUCCUUACUCGUAGCUGGGGUGGGGAGAGGACACAUGGAGAAAGAAGGUGGAGCCUUUUGCAAACUAAAGUGCUUUCCAAAUAUGAGGGGUUAUCAGGAGGGUGGCUUUGGGCCCCUCGAGAUGGUGCUGACCCUGUGUUCCUCUGCAGUCUGUGCAGGGCACUAGGGUGGUUGGUGUCACCAGCCCAGGGGCUGCUGGACACAGGCCCCACCCAGAGGAAUAAGGCAACACCAUUGAGGAGGGGCAGCCCAGGGCUCCCUGCCUGGCUUUGGAGGUGUAAGGUGUUUGAAAUAACAUUCUCCAACAUGCUCAAAGUGAAACCAGCUUCCUUUGGGAACAUAUGGAGACCACAGGCACUUCACAGGGGCUGAUGAGGACCCACCAACUCCGCUGUGGGCUCUGUCCCUGCCCUUGGAGCUCAUAGCCUGGUGACCUUGGCAUUCAUUAUUUUCAUUCCAGUUCUCAGCACAGCGCUUGGCACACAGUAGGAACUCAGGAAGUGUUUAUGGGAUGGAAUGGAGUGAUGACGUUGAGGCAAGAUGAAGGUUAUGAACGGAGAUGACAUCUGCGUCUUGGCAGGAAGCAGAGGGGAGGAAAAGGAGCAAGUAAGGAGUGGCGGCUGGCGUGGGUGCAGCGCCACUGAGAGAAGGGGUUGAGAGAGGUUAGAGAAGGACUGGAGUCAACACUCCUGAGAGCCCUUCUUUGCCCUGUGGCCUCUUACUUGCAAGCUAGUUCCCCUCUCUCAGCCUCAGUUUCCUAAUCGGUAAAGCAGGGAUAGUAGAAUUUCGUCAUGAGUUCUUGCAAGGCUCGAGAACGGUAACACAUGGGCCGCGGCAGGCUCUCGGCCGUGCCUGCUGGACACCCAGUGUGUUGUGAACAGAGAUCUUUAGAGAGAACAGAUAAAAAUUACAGAAGUAUCUUAUAGAGACACAGUUGACAGAUACAGAAAUAAUGUGAGUUGCAUCAUAUUAGAUUCAGAGAGAUUAAAGAGAGAUUUUUAGGGGAAUUUACGAAUUUAUUCAUUUUGGGGACACAGAGAGCAAUGAGCACUGGGAUGGAGACAGUGAACGCCUGACAUUGGAGGCUCCUGGACUAUAGAGUUGCUUUGUUUUUUGGAUGGAGUCUCCCUCUGUUGCCCAGGCUGGAGUGCUGUGGCAUAAUCUCGGCUCACUGCAACCUCUGCCUCCCAGGUUCAAGCAAUUCUCCUGCCUCAGCCUCCUGAGUAGCUGGGAUUACAGGCAUGUACCACCAUGCCUGACUAAUUUUUGUAUUUUUAGUGGAGAUGGGGUUUCGCCAUGUUGGCCAGGCUGGUUUCCACCUCCUGACCUCAAGUGAUCUGCCUGCUUAGGCCUCUCCAAGUGCUGGGAUUACAGAUGUGAGCCACCUCGCCUGGCCAAGUGGUUUUUUUUGGAUGGAGUCUCACUCUGGUGCCCAGACUGGAGUGCAGUGGCGUGAUCUUGGCUCACUGCAACCUCUGCCUCCUGGGCUCAAGCAAUUCUCCCACUUCCGCCUCCUGAGUAGCUGGGAUUACAGGCAGCUGCUACCAUGCCUGGCUAAUUUUUGUAUUUUUAGUAGAGACCAGGUUUCGCCAUAUUGGUCAGGCUGGUCCCAAACUCCUGACCUCAGCCUCUCAAAGUGCUAGGAUUACGUGCGUGAGCCACCAUACCUGGCCUUUUUUUUUUUUUAAUUUAUUUUUUUCCCCAAACUUGGACAAAGCAUAUCACUUGUAGACGUUUUAUUGGGCCACAAAAAUGCUUAAGAACUAAAGAAGAAAACUCCAGCUCCAAAGUAUACAAAAAUAGCAAAAUAGAAAUUAUUCAAAAUUUUAAAUGAAAAAUAAAAAAGACCCUUUAAAACUUGUUUAUAGCCAACCAGUUCUAUGUAGCAUGUGACGUGGGUACAUUUCAACAUGCUUGAUGCAGUGUGUUGUCAGUGGGACCCACAAGAGUCUUAUAAAGUGUCCCGGGCACUGCAACCUCCGCCUCCCGGGCUCAAGCAAUUCUCCCACCUCAGCCUCCUGAGUAGCUGGGAUUACAGGCACCUGCCACCAUGCCUGGCUAAUUUUUGUAUUUCUAGUAGAGACUGGGUUUCGCCAUGUUGGCUGGGGCCAUGGGGCUGGGGUUGAUCAGCAAAGUCAGCUGUGUCUGGGUCAACUGAGAAGGGCUUCCCGGUGGAGGUGAUGUUUGGGUGCAACCUUACAGAGAGAGAAGGAAUUGAAUAGAGGGAAAAAUGGCCUGGUGGUGACUUUUGAGUCUUUUUUUUUUUUUUUUGAGACGGAGUCUUGCUCUAUCGCCCAGGCUGGAGUGCAGUGGCACCAUCUCAGCUCACUGCAAGCUCCGCCUCCUGAGUUCACGCCAUUCUCCUGCCUCAGCCUCCCGAGUGGCUGGGACUGCAGGCACCUGCCACCAGUCCCGGC
RNAcentral lists this small RNA (52705 nucleotides) under Pongo abelii (Sumatran orangutan). Its description in RNAcentral is "sense overlapping". The record is from RNAcentral. Lineage: Eukaryota; Metazoa; Chordata; Mammalia; Primates; Hominidae.